GAGAGCUCAGGUUAAGGCUUUAGAAAAGAGGAUGGAUAAUUUGAAGGUUGAUAACCCCCCCUUCGACAUAUGUCUACACCUAUGCUUGGUGUGGUAUUUGUGAUAGCUAGGUUGAAUGUGAUAACUUCUACACCAACAAACCAAUGACCGUGGAAGAAGUAGAUUUUGUGCGAGAGGGUUAUCCUUUCAGCCAGCAAGGAUAUCAAGACUUUAGAGCAAAGAAUGUCGGAGGCUGACAACUCCAACAUGCAUAUCCUCGCUUUGAUUUCUACAAGCCUAGAGUAGAGGACUGGAAUGCAAGCACUCCUCAAGGAAAUUCAAGCAACCAAGGACCGCCAGGAUUUCCAGACAAGCCACCUCAACAUCCAAAACAAAAUUCGGCCACCACUAGAGGAUUUAAAGAUGACAUUAUCCAGAUGAUGAAGAUCAUGCAGGCGCAGUUGGAAAAUCAAAACAUUAUUUUGAAAGGUCAACAAGCAAUGAUUCAAAGGAUGAAAGGCAUCCUACCCAUCUUUAGGAGAGAAGGUCGAUCAGAAACCUUCUGGACAGCUCCCCUCAAACACUGAACAAAACCCCAACAACAAACAAAAAGGAAAAAACCCCAACAACAGACGAACCCAAUUUUCGUUCCGCCGACCGAAGGAUCUGCCUUCUGUCUAGCCGCAAUUUUCGCCAAUUUUGGAAUGUGUCUUACCUGAUCGGUCACUCUCCGGAUCAUUGUUUUCGUAUUCGGAUCUUCGCUUUCCCAUUGGAGUUUUGAAGUUCCAGUUUGACAGUGUUUGAGUUCGUUGAAGAUUGUUUGCGUUCGUUGAAGAUUGUUUGAGUUCGUCGAAGAUUGAACUUCCGUUCGUUGAAGAUUGUUGUGUUUGAGUUCGUUGAAGAUUGUUUGCGUUCGUUGAAGAUUGUUUGAGUUCGUCGAAGAUUGAACUUCUUAUAUACGGGUAUUGAUUUUACGGAAGGGAAAUUUCGUAAUUUACCAUAUCUAGGGGGUUAUCUAAUUUAAAUUUAGGGGGUCGUUUAGAGAUUGAUAAAAAAAACUUGUUAGUAAGAACAAGUCCUUAAACUUGAUUAAGUGUGAAGGAAAUAGGAUGAUUAGAUUGGUUCAGAUGGGAGUGCCGACAUUAUGCUUACUCUCGAGCUUUUAUUCAAUGCAGCUCUUGCGCGCUAUGUGAACCAACCUGGAAGCCUAACUCAUUAUCGAACUGAAUCCACCCUGGCUCAAAAUCGAUUCAUUUAGCUUUCAAGUUAGCUUGUUAAAGAUCAAGCAUAAUCUCCAACUAUUAUUUUUUGAGGUGAAUGUAGAGCUCCUCACAAGCUGUUCAAAUUUGCACACCACCGUUAAUGUCUCUCUCUUGUUUCCCUCCUACACCAAAUUCAGCGGGCCGAAGUUCUUAGCAGAUCCAAGCAACACAUGAGGUAAAUGAACUACUACGUUUAUGUUCCAAUCAAUCUGAUCCCAACCAGCAACUGGGCAAAUGAUAAAUAAACUCUUAGAUGGCAGUCUUCUAGAUUAUAAAACAUUUCAAAAUGAAUUCCUACAAAUACAGAUACAUAGAAUUGCCAAAAAUUAAUAAACGGUGAUACUAAGCAUGAUUCAGACGCUAACUGGUAUUAUUAACCUACUGGUUUGUAUGGCCGAGCGAUAUCACGCGACGUAAAAUUGAUGAUUGAUUAAACUGUGCACACCUGUAUUUGAGUAACUUCAUUAUAAUUUUUCUAUAAAAAUAAUAACUGUAUUAUAAUUAUGGAACAUAUAUAAAAAAAUAUAGGCACAUAUAGCUUCAUUGGAACUAUUGGCACAAAGUCUCCGCGUAGUUUAAGGGGCCAAAAUUGAAAAAUAUUAGAAAAGGGACUAAUUAAACUCCAGUUCGCAUGGACUGACAUUUGCAACACACUUCGAUUGAUGCAUUGCUUUGGAGAUGGCUUCCUUCCUUCUCUAAUAUAUAGGAGCCUACUUCUGUAUUGGCAUUAGUAUCAGUAGACUGUGGAUGGAGAAGCUGUCAAAUGUUAAGUAGUAAAAUGGAGCAUGAACAUGUUCAACAUAAAUAUGAUUAUACUGUGGAGAUAGAUGAGUCUUCAUAUUAAUAUAAAUUGCAAUUUGAAGAAGUUGAGUUAAUAAUGAGGAAGAUCAGUAAGUGAUAAAAUUAUUUAGUGAAACUGAUGUUUAAAGAGAGAGCUAGCUCCUCGACAUUCUUUGAUAACUAUAAAUACAUUGCUAACUAUAACUAUAAGCACAUUGUUUGUAUCUAACCUAGCAUAUAAAUUGGUUUGGAUAUAAGCUAAUUUUUAUCCAAGUUGAUUAACAACCAAAACAACAGUGGGAGUUUUGCAUUCAUUCUCCAUAUACAUGAUCCCUGGAAAAGCACUCAGAUAACGAUACUAUAUGGCACUAUGCAUCUAAUCAAUAAAAUGAACUGCGAAUUUGUGAGUGUGAUUUCGUCGAAAUCCAAUGUAAAGGUGAGCAAUUUCUAUUAGUAUAACUGAGGCUAUAUAGUAUCGUUCUCUGAGGCUAGAGGUUUAUCAUCUCUACAACUAUAUAUGCAAAUAUUUCAAAAUUAAAUUGCCAUGUAAGCCUUUUCUUCACUCUCAGUCACUCUUUAGGAGUCUGUCCUUUAAAAAAACCCUAAUUAAUGAUUCUCUUUCUGACGGUUUAACUCAUUUCCCUUUCCNNNNNNNNNNNNNNNNNNNNNNNNNNNNNNNNNNNNNNNNNNNNNNNNNNNNNNNNNNNNNNNNNNNNNNNNNNNNNNNNNNNNNNNNNNNNNNNNNNNNNNNNNNNNNNNNNNNNNNNNNNNNNNNNNNNNNNNNNNNNNNNNNNNNNNNNNNNNNNNGGUUACGAGUCAUUAUCUAUGUACCUAUUGAGAACCAUAAUCAGGUUGAAUUAGACAUAUUUAUCAAACCUAUGUACAUACCAUAAACAUGUUUCUGCUUUCAAUAUUCUUUUAACGGACCAAUUAGUCAUUAAAUUUUGCGUAAUUCGGAAUGCUAAUAGGGUUGAGUUGGUUUGAAUUUUGCAUAUCAAUGGAACCUAAGCAUAACUCAUAACAAGACCAUUCUUUAAUAAUCUUUUAUGGCUCAAUUGAGGUUAAAUUUUUGUAAGUUAAUCGAGUUAGAGUCAUUAUCUGAUGACUAAUUUAGAACACUACUCAAGUUGAGUUGGUCUAAAUUAGACAUAUCCAUCAAACAUAACCUUGUAUAAUUACAUGAUCCUUCAUUCAAGAUUCUUUUAGUAGAGUCAAUUGAAGUUACAUUUUAUAAGUUAAUAAUGUUAUGAUUCAUUAUCUCUAGCCCAGCUGCAAAUCAUAACACUGGUACAGUAGAUCGCACACUAUGAUACAGUCCUAAAAACCCGUUCAAAGAUUCUUGUCAAUCGAAUUACAAUUCUACGCAAAAAGCAGAAAGGUAAUCCUAGAUGAGUCUGGUCCGACGCAGUCUCCCCAGAGCUCAAUCGCCUGAUCUGAUGACAUGUAGAGAUCAAUCAUAGGAUUGAAAUUCCCAAACCCCAAAUCCUAACCUAUCAGGACUUUUCAACGUAGGAUUCAAAACAAGUACUUGAGAAGGGAGGAAGAAGAUGGAUUACAUUCAAAACCUUCCUCUACAAUCUCUAAGCUUCUCGAACUGAUAUGAGAUCGAUCGACUUGGUCUUCCCAUCUUCCUGAAAUUGACCGAUGUGAUCCCUUGCGGUCAUGAUUGUGACGGAUGCUGACCACGACUAUAAUCUAUUUGAUGACCACGCCCAUGAAAAACUUGCAGUCACACCCGUGACAAUGUGUCCUACAACCGAUUCUCAUAAUUUAUAGAACUCGAACUAAAUCCAGAAUCAACCAUUAGCCCAAAAUCCAGGUGUCACAACUCUCGCCUCCUACAAAAGGUUUCGUCUCUAAACCUGAAUGUGAAAAUUAACACGAGAAAAGAAAUUCCCUACUAGGUAAUCCUCCAUGAGCUCCAGGAAGCGUUCCUGCAUGCUAGCCUUGAUCUCCGAUGUCGCAGCCUCGACAACCUGAUUUUGGCAAAUCACCUUUAGCAUAGGUGUUUCGUUGCUCCUCGGUUUGACGAAUUUUCUGUCUACAAUCCGAGCUGGUUGCUCCACAAAGGUCAGGUCCUUCUUGAAUUGAAUCUCAUCUGGCUAGAUCACUUGAUUCGGCUUGCCAAUGUAAGCCUCAAGCACACUCACAUGGAACACAUUAUGUAUCUUGUCCAACACAGCACAUAAGGCCAGCUCAUAAGCCAUGGGUCCUAUCUUUCGAAUGAUAUCAUAAGGGCCAAUUAACCGAGGAGAAAACUUCCCCUUCUUGCCAAACCGCAUCACUCCCUUCGAAGGACAUACUUGAUGGAGACUUUAUCCCCUUCCUUGAAGCUAAUCUCUCUAGCCUUCCUAUAUGCAUACUACUUUUUCCAAUUCUGAGCCACACCCAGCUCCUCGAGAGGCCGUCUCCUGAACCAUCUAAGGUCUAGUUAAUAACUUCUCUCACUUCCUAUCCAAGAACGGAGGGGUCCUACACUUCCUGCCAUAUAGAGCCUCGAAUGCAGCUACCCUGAUACUAUGGUGAAAGAAAUUAUUAUAAGCAAACUCCACCAUCGACAAAACCUUUAACAAAGGUUCAUCAAACUCCAUUACACACGAGCAAAGUAGCUCCUCCAUUAUCAGAAUGGUCCGCACGACACUUGAUUUGUCAAGUAGUGCAUUUCUAACUUCUAUCUCGAUUUAGUAUCUCGUACCCGCUCGGGGUCCAUUUGAUGUUGUUUCGUAGUGUUUUUUUUAUCAAUUUCAGGCACACAAUGACGUCAGGGCACUAUUCGGAACUAUAUGGCGUGCAAAUAGGAGCUGAAUACAUUAAAGAAUGAAUAAAUCACAAAGUUCAUGCGAUAUACUGUGUUUGGGGACACGCGGAUGGAUGAUUUAAGUAGCUUGGAGCGGAUGGUUGCUGAAAUUUAAGGGGAACACGACGUGUCCAUUGGGACACAACGUGUUCGGAAAUUAACCAACUAGGUUGGGCGUUAACCCUCAUCCAGAAGCAAAUAAAAAAGUCCGUCGUGUGAGCAAUUCUCGUUUGUUUUGUCGCCUAGUAGAUAUCAAAUCUUUGUCUCAAAAGAGCAGAUUGGGAUAGUAGAUAGGUAGCAUAUUAGCAUACCCAAAAGGGUGUGAUUUGAUCAGAGAAGAACUGCAACGGUGAAUUGAAGUUAUCUUGUUUCAUGUAAAUCAUUGAAUUUUUUGUCAUUUAUGAGUUUGAGUUACCUAGGGGGAUUCGAGGUCUAAGCAGUUUCAUCCUUGAUUGUCUACAACCUUAUAUCGUGCAGUCUUGCAACCAUUUACUUUAACAAUUUUUUUUUCUUUUGAUUGUUUGAUGGAUUCUCAUGGCACCUACACCACCAAACAUGCUUAAUACAUUAACACUUUUCAUAACUUUGAGUAGUCACGACAAAGAGACCCUAGGGAGAUUCGACUCGGUUAAUUCAUUAGCCGGUUUAUUUUGAUAAUGCAUAAAAUCGUUCAUCAUCCGCUCCAACUGACCAUUUGACUGUGGGUGAUAAGUUGUACAGAAAUCCAGCUUCGCCCCGAAGGCUGCAUGUCACCCCUUCCAAAAAUGGAAAGUGAAAACGGGGUCCCAAUCUGUUACAAUCGACUUGGGCACUCCUUGCAAUCUCACAAUGUGCUCCACAUACAAACCUUCCAACUCCACAUUCGGCUUAAACCGAAUGGGUAUGAAAUGUACCACAUUGGUCAACUGGUCUUUAUAACCCAAACUGCAUCUUUCUCAUUGACCAAGGGAAAACCACUGACGAAGUCCACCGUAAUAAAUCGAACAUCCACACCAGUAAAGGUAGCGAUGAAGCAACCAUCCUGUUGCCCGAUGGUCAAACUUAGCCUUUUGGCACACCAGGCAACUAGCCACAUGUUGAAUCACUGGUUCUUCAUGCUAGGCUACCAGUAGUGAGGAAAAAGUGUUCUGUAUAUCUUCAUCUCACCUAGGUGCAUGACAUAAGUGAACGAAUGCACCUCGUCCAAAAGGUCCUCCCUUAGCUUGGACCUAGGAGGUACAUACACCCUUUCUUGGAAGAGCAUCAUGCCAUCCUUCCAUGUGUAGGGUGUUGCCUUACCAGCUGACACCAGCUACUGAGCCUCCAAAAUUAACUUGUCUGAUGUGAGCCUCGGUAAUGUGAUCUAGCAGGAAGGGCCAUACUACCAAUCUCGCCAAUGACCCCCUGAUUGAGUCGACUUCCAACUCAGCAUCCAUUCUCCUCAUCUCGACCAAUUCGGUCAACCUCUCCUUCCUUCUUAAGGCAUAAGCCACUACAUUGACCUUCCUGGGUGAUACUCUAUCACAUAGUCAUAGUUCUUGAGCAACUCCACCCAACGUCUCUGCAUACAGUUCAACUCCUUUUGCUCCAUCAAGUACUUGAGACUCUUGUGAUCAGUCUUGAUCCUCAAAGUCUCACCAUACAAGUAGUGCCUCCACAGCUUUAGUGCAAAAACCAUUGCCGCUAGCUCCAAGUCAUGAACUGGAUCGUUUAACUCAUGCACCAUCAACUAGUGAGAUGCAAAACCCACCAAUCUGCCAUCCUGCAUCAAAACACAACCUAACCUCAAGUAUGAAGCAUCACUAUAUAUAACAUACUCCCCCCCCCCCCCCCCCCCAACAACUCGUACCAUGAGUUUUGGUGUUGUGGUGAGCCUCCUCUUCAGUUCCUUGAAGCUUUCACGACAGACCUUACUCGGAACAAAAUGUGUGUCCUUCCUGGCCAGCUUGUGGAGUUGUCCUGCUAUUUUAAACAAACCUUUCUACAAACUUCCUGUAGUACCCAUUCAUGCCUAAGAAACUCCUCACUUUAGUCACACUUCUAGGUGGUGACCAAUCCACUAUCACCUCUACCUUCAUUGUUUGUCUCUCCUCCUUUGAGGUGUUGGCAUUAGAUGUGUCCCACCUAACACUGCCUUCCUCUUCUUCUCCUCUUGCCAAGCUUGGCAUUCUCCUUUCAUCGCACCCUCAAGGAGUUCUAUCCUCAAGGCUGCUGCCUUGAUAUCUGCCAGGGUCACCAUUACACCAAUCUUAAUCUGAGCCAUCAACCCAUGGUAGAACAUCUACUUCAUGUGCACCAUCGUUUAUUCAGGUGAACCCUUGUACCACCUACUCAGCUUGAUAAAGGCGUUAUGGUAAUCCACCACCUUCAUAUCAUCCUGUCUGAGGUUAAUAAACUCAGCCCUCUUGUUCUUCUGCCACUGCUUUGGUGUAAACUCUUUCUUGAACAGAAUCAGGAACUCCUCCCAAUCUUGAUCCAAGAAGUUAUCCUCAACCUGUAGCUAAUUAUCCAACCACUCCUUCGAUGUACCCCUCAACAGGUAAGCAGCAUACUACACUCUAUUCUCCAGCGUAGGUCUUAGAUACCUAAACACGUUCGUCAGCUCUCGUAGCCAAUCCACUGCUAUCAGCGGAUCUGUGGACACUCCAUGAAAGGUAAUGACACCCAUACGAGUCAGCUCCUUGAAAUCAAAGCUCGGCAUAGGCGGAUCCCUGACCAUGUCGACCUAGGCCUCUUGAUUACUACACACACAAAUGUAAUAUUCAGGCUCCCUUUCAUUUAAGUUUAUCUCUGUUUUUUCUAGUAAACAUGAAAACAGUUUAAAACUCGACCACACACAUGGUGUACAUACCACUACCCCAUGGUGUAUCCUUGGUCACGUCUAUGGUGUAUAUCUUGCUACACCCGUAACUAGCAUCACCACGCAUGUGGUAUACAUGUGACCAUGCCCGUGAUUCUCUGCCCCAUCACGCACGUGACCUGCUAACUAACCAUGCAUGUGGUAAUCAUCAAGCCACGACCAUUACCAACAACUAGCCACGCCCGUGACGUACUUUCCGCCACGCCCGUGGCUCACACCCCAUUUCAAAAUUGCAAACAACAAAUAACUUACAGACUCCUAAACACAGAAGGACAUAUCACCAGGUCAUUAUGUAUUGUGCUCCCAUGAUCACUGAUCGCUUGGAGGUUCAUGACGCCCAUGUACCAGCAAACAUGGUCACGUAGUAGAGAAAAACUAGGCUAUGAUACCCGUUAUGAAACCCAACACUAAACGACCCAGUCGAACCACACGGUUCGACCCAUGCAUUCUUGUAUGUUAAAUUACUUCAUAAAUAACAUCAUAUACAUAAGAUAUAACCGCAUUAAAUGACCUCUCAUAAUAAGUAAAAACCGCGGAAAUGAAACAGAGCAUCUAAGGCUCGAAUCCAAUACUAAACAGGGGAAACCAAUAUCCAGAGGUAAGUUUGUCAAAUCAACUCAAACAUAGAAAAUGUCUGAAAACAUGAAAAUGUCUGAAAACAUGAAAAUGUCUAAAAACGUGAAAACAAUGAAAGGGAUAACCAAGGUCCUCCAAGAUACCUCUCACAGCCACUUGGUUGAGGCGUCGCUACUCUUGCUUCUUUCUUAGGCGGCAUUUUGGCUUGAAGUUCCAUGGUUCAUCAUAUACGUAGAAAAGAGACGGGGUCAGCGAUAAGCACUGAGUGACUAAGCCUGAACGCGAAGAACUGGGCUAGUAUCUAGUAAAGUAACCCUGUGGUCCUAUAGGUAUCAUCCUAACUUCAGCCACCCCUAGAUAUAAGCGGAUAACCUCAUGGUGAAUCAAAGCAAGAAACCAUCCUAAAAAUCCAUGAGAGGAACACUAAAGGUUAACUCAUCACGUCCUGUAUGAACCAUCCUAUAGUAAAUCACACGCUACUAUACAGUCCUUAUAGGAUUCCUGUCAAUCUAAUUUCAAUUCUACGCAUAAAGCAGAAAGGUAAUCUUAACCCCUAUCACUGAAAGCUUUCCCAAAUAAGUAUGGUCUGAAGCACUCUCCCUAGAGCUCAAUCGCCUAAUCUGAAUGACCUAUAGAGAUCAAUUGUAGGAUUGAAAUCCCCAAACCCCAAAUCCUAACUUGUGAGAAUUUUCCUACGUAGGAUUAAAAAAAAAGGAUUUGAGAAGGGAGGAAGCAGAUAGAUUACCUUCAAAACCUUCCUCUGCAGUCUCUAAGCCUCGCAUACUAAUCUAAGAUAGAUUGAUUUAGUCCUCCCCUCUUCCUGAAAUCGAUCACAGUCGUCAAAGAGGUUCUAAUAUUAGGUUUCUGUGAAUUCUGCGUUCUGAAGUUGCAAUUCUGUUUAUAUAAAAAAUCCACCACGCCCGUGGCCCACUUAUGGUCACGAUCUUGAUCCCAUGCUAGUCACGAUUGUGACUGAUGCUGACCACAACCAUUAUCUAUCUAAUGACCACGUCCGUGAUAGACUAGUAGUCACGCUAGUGAUGGUGUGUCCGACAAACAAUUCUCAGAAUUCAGUAAACUCGAACUAAACCCAGAAUCAACCGUUAGCCUAAAAUUGGGGUGCCACAGUUGGGCCCUAGCUUUUUAAGUCUUAAUAUCAUUAUGACUAGUAUUUCACAACACAUUAUAUACACCUUACUUCACGGAAGAGCGAGUUACUGGAUUUCGACAAACUUUUUUCCCAUCUGGGGGAAAAUCGUGAUCUCCAUUACUGAAGCUGGAGACACGGUGUUAUGGAAGGGUAUGUGGAUGCCAAGGUUCUGACACGCUUGCAAUAUGCGUUUAAUAAUAACCUAAUUACCAAAGUAACUAGGGUGGAAUUUCCCUAGGGUUUCAAUGUUGUGUCUACUCGAAGUUUUGAAGAGUGAUAAUAGGUUUAACAAGUAUUGUGGUUUAGGUGCGUACUCGCAGUUCUUCUUGAAUCCCGCCCUUUUGGGUAUGCUAAUCUGCUACUUAUUUACUAUCCGAGACCUCUCUUUCAAGACAAAGAGUAAAAUCUGCUAGGUGAUAAAACAAACAAGAACUGCUCACACAAUGGACUAGUCUAUUCACUCCCGGAGGAGGGUUAAUGUGACACCACAAUUUUGGUCAGCGGUUUAAAUUUCGGAUUGAUUAAAUUAAUUUAAAUAAUUCAAGGAAUUGACCCAGCAGUUGACCAAGUAUUAAAGGCUUGCAAGACUCGGAACAGGUAUCGGGUUGACUAAGUCAAUCAAAAGAGGAGUUAAGCCUUUGAGUUAUUGAACCGUUAGAUGAAUAUAAUGGUGAAGAGUUGGUUUUGAACCAUCCAAGUGAAAAAUGAGGACUGCUACUUUAAUUGGACGUGGACUUAACAUGUUGGGCUUGAGUCCAGUUGGAAUUAUGAUAACGAAGAGAGCUUGGGCCGUCAGAUUAAUCUAGUGGAUGAACUUGGGCCCGUUACCACUUAAGGAGAAGAGAGUUUUGGAGUGGACCAAUCUUCCUCUUCUCCCUAACCUAAUCGUGAACUGACAGGAUGAUUGAUAAGGAGACGCUGGCGGCAUCUCAUUGGUGGAGGUAGCCUUUGUUUGGGAAGGAUGGAAGGGCCCUUGCGGCAGCUGAGACUCGAGGAAGACCUAGAGGUAGCGGCGGCUCAAGUUAGGGGUUGUUUUGCUUGUCGAUGGAGAUUAAAGAGUAGUGGCGACGACUCUGGAUGCAGAGUAGCAAGAUUCGGCCACUGGUGGCGCGUGGGCAGCGUUUGUGGCCACUAGUGGCAGCAGACGAUGGCUGGCGAUGACGAAGGUAGAGGGGGAAACAACGUUUCCAAGAGGAUCGGAGGUUGUUGGAGCUUUGCCGGAGGGUCACCAGAAUCUAGUCAGCCUCGCCGGCGGCGAGCACCAGAGAAGAAGAGUGGUCAUCCCGCAACUUUGGAGAAGUUCGGUGACCGAUCUGUAUGUCCUAAAGGAUUAGUUGCUAAUCUGAAUUUGGUUAUUCUUAAGCCUUGCUUCGUUAGCUCUAAACUUUUGGAUGGUUUAUUAUUGAUGACUCGGGUUAUUUUUGUUAACGACUAGAAGUUUCGUAUCCAUUAGCAUAACAGAGGCAGGUGGAGGACUGGCGCAACGUUUCUGUCCCAACAACUUUCAGAUUGUUGCAAAGAAGUAAAUGUAGCAUAACUCGACCGUUUUGCCUCUAAACCACGCACGAUCAGAAGCUGCAGAUACUUGGCAGGUGGGGAAUCCCAUCAAGCCAGAAUUAGAGGUGUCAGCUUUUUUUAACAGUUGGGGGCACGAUUACUUUUCUGCUUAUAAGUUUAGAACUAUAAUAGGUUGUGAAGAAUCCAAUGACCGGAUUUUUCGUGACUCGGAGUGAGGGCUCUCAGAACCAUACAGUAAUGUAUGAUCUACUGUACAAAUGUUGUGAUGUAAUUUAGAGCAAGGGCUCUCAAGACUAAUUGUAGCGUGUGAUCUACUGUACAUAUGUCAUGAUGUGAUUUAGAGUGGGGGCUCUUAGGCUGUACAGUAGCGUGUGAUCUACUAUAAAAUUAUUAUUUUUAGCAUAAGCUCAUGGCAUUUGAGUUAUGACGUGUGAUUCAUAGUUCAUGUUAGGAUAGGAUAGGCGUAGUUAUACUAGCUCACAAUGAGUAUGUGUUGGUCACCCACUCCCGGAUUGCGCAAUCUCUUAGGUUAUAUUCAGGUUCAGGCAGGACUUGUAAAGUACGCCUACAGAUGCUGCUCUCACGGUAUUCAUGCUGGUUUCAUGGGAUGAUCCACCAUAAGGCCUUCCACACACAGUUAAGGAUGGCUGAUGCUAGGUAGAUGCUUACAGUGACUAUAGAGUCACAUUAUUAGAGUAAUGACUAGAUAGACUUCUAUGUUCUAUUCAUAUCCUUAGUAUUAGUCUUAGUUUCCCUCAGUUCUUAUCACUCGCCCCAUUACAUGUUGUUUUCCUUGGUGUAUUUGUGUAUUUCAAUCACGGGUACUGAAAUUGAUGGUGGAAAGAGAGCUGAUCAGAAUUUUAAUAUCUAUCGAUAUCUAUUUUGAUGUAAUUUCAGUUUUAGAGUUGUUCUCCUUUUGUUGUGUUGUGAUUUGGGAUCCUCUUUGGUCAGUGUUAUUAAAGUGUUUCAGUUAAGCUUUCAAUACUUGUGUUUCAUGCAUUUGUAAGUAGGUUUGAGUUGAGUUUUGUUCAGGUUAGAAUCUGAGUAGGAUUCCUCGGUUGAACCACUAGUUCGACCAAGACUUCUAAGGUGGGGUUUCACAGUUAAUGACUAACCUAAUUAUUUAAAUUUGGUGUUCUAGAUAUGCUAGCUAUGAUACCCCAUUUUGGGUUGACAGUUUCCUUUUUGGUCGAGAUCCCUUGUAGGAAGACGCAAGAGGUAUCAAGAUAGCUCCUAAGCUAACAAACCCAACUAAACUACUCGAAACUAGGGGGAGGGAAAGGANNNNNNNNNNNNNNNNNNNNNNNNNNNNNNNNNNNNNNNNNNNNNNNNNNNNNNNNNNNNNNNNNNNNNNNNNNNNNNNNNNNNNNNNNNNNNNNNNNNNNNNNNNNNNNNNNNNNNNNNNNNNNNNNNNNNNNNGCUCUAUCAUAACCAUCAUUACUUAGGCAGUAAAAAUAGUCAUGUAUGCUAGUAAUUUACAUUAAGGGAUGUAAAUGAAGGAAAUUGAGUUUAAUAAAGCGACCAUUUUCAGUAAUUAAAUCGAUUGUCAAAAGAGUUACGAAAGGGUGGCAUGAUUGGUGAAAAUGGAGAUAUGGAGGAGACAUUUAAUUAGGGCAAGGAUUAAGGGCUGUCUUUUUUAUUUAAUUAAUUAUUAAUUGCAGGGGUAAAAAUGAAAAGGCCCGAAUAUAGGAGAGUAAUUAACUUAUUUAUCGGAUUAAUUAUCCAUGAAUGAAUUUAACUGGUCGUUUUCCAAAAUAAUAAUGUCACCAUCACUAUAAUCGUCGGGGGAACGUCUGAUGGCUAUCGUUGGAGAAUCUGAUUACAGAUGUACUGUUACCAUCGGGGAAAAUUUCGAUGACCAUAAUGUAGGAGAUUGAGCUCCAAUUAUGAUGCAAAAUGGCCACGACUUAGGAGAUUGAGCUCCAAUUACGAGGUAUAAUGGCUAAGACCUAGGAGACUAAGCUUCAAUUACGAGGCAUAAUGGCCAAGAUCAACAUAGGGUCGUCAACAAACUUAAUCAAGCUAAUAAUCUUUCCCUUAAAAUUAAUGAAUGAAUCAAGCUAGUAAAACAAAAUCCAUCAUCCUAGAAAAGAAUGAUAAUUAAACAAACACAAUACAUAACAACAAAUAUUUCCAAAGGACAUGGACAAUCGAGAGACAUAUAACACACACAGGUCUUCUUAGUAGAAAACAAUAGACAAAUAAUUAAAGAUCUACCGAUUGAGCCAACAAUCAUACGAUCGAUGAAUCCCUAAUUUUUAUGAAGCAAAGCAUGAAAACAAGCAACAAUUAACAUUACUAAAUCUGCUUUAGUUUCUCAUAAUCAGAUCAUGGGUUAGUGAUUUUGUGGCCUCUUCUUUCGUUCAUCUACCAUUUUGAUUUGCCUCUUGUAUUUCCUCUCACAUCUAAUGAUAUCGAGAUUGAGCUAGGUUUGCAAAAGAAUAUGAACUCACGGUCGUCGUCCACCUUGAGAGUGACGAAGACGAAGGUGGUCGUCGCUCACUUGUUGAAGUUGAUGCCAUCCUCGAUCACGCCAUUCCCUUCAAGAUCCUGGCCAGCAUGUGGCCGAAAUCAUUGUCGUCGAGCCUACCGACAACGAGUUUCCCACUAGUAUGGAGAUCGCGAUUGCAACGUUUGCGGGUGUGCCACCGGUAGCCUUGUGGAAGCCUUGAGCCUCGACGAGGGAGACACCAGAUGCGGUAGGGAUGAAGUUGAUCAGCAUCUCAGCGAUGUUGAAAAUAAGGGAGGAGUCUGCUGAUCCACCAUUGGAGACCAUCUUAGGGGCCGUAAGUCUGUCACAGUUGUGGUUGUCAGAUAGACCAGAGAUGUGGUCAGCCAUUAGUCAUGGUUGUGACCAUCAAGAGAUCAUGGGUGUGACCAUUAGUAGGUCAUGUGCAUGGUUCCCUGGUAGUAACAUACAUGGUGUUAAGUCGGCCAGGGCAUGGCAGACUUAUUGUAAAACCAGAGUUGCGAUCAGCAGCUCAGAAUUACAGAAACCCCAAACUUAGAAUCAUCUAUGAAGAAUGAUAAUCAAUUUUAGGAGGUGGACAAGGCAGAGUUGAUCGAUCCCAGAUUAGUAGCAGAGGUUUAGAGAUCAUUGAGAAAAAUUCAGAAGGUCAAAAUGGAACAGGCGAUUAAGUUCUAGGAAGGAAGCUUCAGAUCAGACUCUAUCAGGAAAGCGUAUCAGUGGUGGGGGCUAAUAUUACUUUUCUACUUUAAGCAUAGAAUUGUAAUUAUGAUUGUCAAGAAUCUGAUGAUCGAAGCUUUAAGCAUACCGUGUGAUCUAUUGUACAUAUGUUACGAUUACAGAGCUGGGCUUGCAUGCUGGACAGUAUCGUGUGAUCUACUAUACAAACAGUUGUUUAAGUUUGAGUAUAAGCUCAAUGUGAUUGAGUUAUACGUGUGAUCCAUAGUUCAUGUUUAGGAAACGAUCAUGUUUAGCUAUAUGAGCUCCCGAUAUGUGUUGGUCACCCACCCAUGGAUUUCACAAUCCCCCAGGUCAAGUUCAUAUUUUUAUGCAGGAUAUGUCAAGUAUGCCUACAGAUGCUGCUCAUAUGAUUUUUGGGGUGGUUUCAUGGUCUGAUCCACCAUGAGGCUAUCUACUAUAGCUAGGGGUGGCUGAUGUUAGGAUGAUGCCUACAUGACCACAAUGUCACAUUACUAGAUGUCUAGUGAAGUUCUACGCGAGUCUAGUUUGGCCACUCAGUGCUUAUCACUAACCCCAUCUCUUCCUUGCAUGAUCAACUGUGGAACCUCAUGCGCAAAUGCCGCCUAAGAGAACUACACGAGCAGCGACACCUCAACCGAGUCAUAUAGUGAGGUACCUGAGAGGACCUCAUUAAUCCCUUUUCAUGUUUUCAGCUGUUUUCUUGAUUUCAGGAUUUUUAGUUGUGUUUAGUAGACUUCUCUAUAUAUAUUGAGAUUCCCUGUUUUGGGAUGUUUUUACAUUAUUUCUAGUACUUGAUUUCAGCCAUAGAUGCUCUAUUUUUCAUACGCUGUCAUUUACAUGUUAUGAGGUAUUUUAGGAUUAAAUCAUAUUAUGUAUGUUUAUGUGAUGAGUCAACCCCCGAGUAAUUGUAUGGAUCGAACCACAUGGUUUGAUCGGGUCGUCUAGGGCCGAAUUUCACAUUUGCUCUUUCGAGACAAUUACAAAUCUAACAAGAUCCUAUUCCAGAUGGCGAAGCAAGAAUAAGAACGGAAAAAAAUUAAACAUAAACAAAAAUCCAUCCAACUCGCAUAAAUUGUUAAAGUCGAACAAUCAUCCGUUCAUAAGAAAUUAUCUAGGGAUCAUCUAAUCUACGCACUAGGAGUUUAGCUAAUCAUAUUCAUUAAGGAAAAAUCAAAAUCAAUAAAGGAACACAUUGGAAUUAGGUUUACAAGAAGAAAUUCGAAAAACCUAACUUCUGCGAGAACUGUCGAAGAAAUCGAUCCAAGCUUCUUAAAUUUGAUGCCUUCUUGUCGCUCCGAACUCUCUGAACUAUGCUUUCAGAUUCACCCCAAAAGGGUCUCAGGUGAAUGGACUAGAGACAACCAUUAAAUAUAAUUUCAGAGAUCUUUAUUUCUACCAAAUUUUAUCAAUAAUUGCACUAUAACCCUUUAAAGACUGUGCUGAGGUCAUAGUACAAUCAAAGUAAGGAGAACUCUCUAACACAAGUUCAAAAACCUAUUAUCAACCUUUGCGUUAAGACCCGUAGGGAAACCUGCCCUAGACAACUCGAUCGAUCCACAUGGUUCGAUCCAGCCAAUAUUCGCAGGUUCACUCCAUCACUUCAUCAACUGAAAUAACUAAACUGAAAGAUCCUCAAAACAUAAAACAACUGCUGAAAAGAUAAACAGAGCAUCUAAGGCUUGAAUCUUGUAUCAAAGACAAAGUGAACAUCCCAACAUCUAGAGAUAAGCCUGAUCAAAACAACUGAAAACAAGGAAUGUGUGAAAUCAUGGAAACAUCUAAAAACAUGAAAAUGAUGAAAGGGAUAACUGAGGUCCUCCAUGGUACCUUUCUCUAUGAAUCCUAAAGUCACUAAGUGGAGGCGUCAGUUAGGUGGCAUUUUCUCCUGAUUUCCCAAGGUUGAUCGUACAUGAAGAAACGAGACGGGGGUCAGCCAUAAGCACUAAGUAACUAAGCCUGAACGUGAAGAACAAACUAGUAUCUAGUUAAGUGACCAUGUGGUCCUAUAGGUAUCAUCCUAACGUUAGCCACCCCUAGAUAUAAGCGGACAACCUCAUGGUGCAUCAGAGCACAAAACCAUCCUGAAAAGGCAUGAGAGCAACACUGAAGGUUAACUCAUCACAUCCAGUAUGAACCUGAAUGAAUCCUAGGGGAUUGCGCAAUCCAAAGGGUGGGCGUCCAAUGUAUAGCAGGAGCUAAUCUAACUAGUCCUGAUGCUCGAGCUAAUCUAACUAGUCCUUAUCCUAAUCAUGAACUGUGAAUCACACACAGUUCAUCGCUGUGAGCUUAUGCUUGAAAUUAACAACUAUCUAUGCAGUAGAUCACAUGCUACACAAUAACCUAAAAUACUCAACUACAAUUCACAACCACAAGUACAGUAGAUCGCAUGCUACUAUACAGUCCUGAAAAUCCAAGCAAGGAUUCCUAUCAACUAACUAUAAUUCUUCGCCGAACCCCUACCUCUGAAAUUUUUUCCUCUGAAGAGUUUGAUCUGAAGUUGUCUCCCUAAAGCUCGAUUGCUUGAUAUGAAUGACAUGUUGAGAUCAAAUGUAGGAUUCAAAUCCCAAAAUCCCCAAACUCUAACCUGUCAGGAUUUCCCUACGUAGGAUUCAAAUCAAAGGAUUGACAAACGAGGAAGAAGAUAGAUUACCUUCUAAAGCUUCCUUACAGAUCUCUAAGCCUCUCUUACCAGUCAAAUGGUCAUCCCCUCUCUAUAGAAUCAAUCACCGUUCGUUAGUGAUAUUACAAAACUAGGUUUCUGUAAUUCUAAGUUCUAGAAAUUGCGGCUCUAUUUUUAUAAUUAGCCCACCACACACAUGGCCUACUGAUGGUCAUGGUCGUGAUUCUCCUGUCAGCCACGAUUAUGACCUUCACUUACCACAGACGUUAUCUACCUGAUGAUCACGUCCAUGAUAGAGUAUCCGUCAUGCCCGUGAUAGUCCAUCUGACAACCAAUUCUCAGAGACUCAUAGAAACCGAAUUAAACCUACUGAUAAAAUUUUUCUCCUUCCUGGCCUUGAUAGAUUGUUGAAUAUAUGUCGUGUUCAAAUCCCCAGCAUUAACACAAAGAUCUCAAGACUUUUGGGGCCGAAAGGACUCCUCCAAGAAGUGGAGUGUAGUCCAAGCUACCAUAUUGACCAUUUUAGUAGUGGGGGAAGGCAAAUUCAAAGAAUCAAUCUGAGACUAUUUAAGAAGAAUUUUAGCAGCCUUAACUUUCUCCCGAGUAUUAUGAAAUGCUUCCAGAUUCAGGCACUUACGAGCAAUCUCCACCUGAUAACGUUUACCAUACAAACCAUAGUAGAAUUCCAAGCAACUUUUACAAUCUCAUCAUAGCUCUUAUGCGCGAACACAUAUUGAAGAAUUUAAAAGGCUUCGGGACAGUAACAACUUGAAUAUCAGUAGUCAUCAGCAUACAACUUGGUCAGAGAACGAAGGGGGAAAUAAGACCACCUGGAAAUUAGGGAAGGCAUCUGACUAGUCUGACUUAAUCAUCACCCUAUCUAGCCUCCCUAAUCCAAGAACAAAACCCCCUCAUACUUCCAAUUGCAAACUGUAUCCAACCCCUCGUCAUGAGGGGCUCGUCCUAGUACUUACCAACACCCUAAUCUAACAACUAAUAAUCUAGCUUAUGAUGAUUGAUAUAAUAGCUAAGGGAAAAAAGAAAACAACCAUUAUCUUAAAAGGAAUGCAAAGAUGGUGACGCUUGCUCCAAUCUUCAGUCCAAGCUCUCAAAGGUUCUCUAAUUUAAUCUUCUAAGGCUCCAAUUGAUGAUGGAUGAGGUGCAAUUUUCGGACUAGGCUUUGGUUAGGAGAGAAAUGGGGGUGAUGAAACAAUAUGAAGCCAAAGAAUGCUCCCUCUCUCCUCAAAAUCCAAAUCCUAUUCCUCUGCCUGCAAGGUCCACAUGGCCUAUGGAUCCACACGGCAUCCACACGCCAUGUGGCCUCUUUCCCAACCGGGCCUUCCGUUUUUCAAUCACACUUUUCUCCCUCUUCCGACCUCCGUUUGAGCUCCGAUUGGUAUCGCCAUAAUUGUCUCAUCGCCAUCUAUGUAACUGAUACCUGCAAGCUCAUAUGCCACAUGAGAAAACAUGUCAAACGGUCCAAAAUGGUCCAUUCCAAACAAUGCUACACAAAACCCUUGUUUCUCCCAACCAAUCAUAUUGGUGGGUCAAAAUAAGGUCAAACGAGGUCAACAAGGUGUCAAAAUGGGGUCAAAUCAGCAACGAAUAAUCGUGCUAUCAGCUACAUUAUUCACUUGAGACGUCACGAACCCCAAAAGAAGGGAGGUAUUCCAUAACCGUACUUGCUCUAGGCAAUCGAGUCUUGUGUUGUGCAUUUGAUAGCUACAUACGUGCAUCAUGCUUAGAAAGAACUUUUGAAAACAGCUUUUGUAAAGUGAUUAUGAAAACCUUUCCGAUAGAGGAUCAUUAAAAAGACCAUUCUACUUGUAGUUUCAACCGAAGCGGUUCACAAGGUAGAAAGGUUUUAGUUAACCCUCCACUAGUUGUGUUAGAUUAUAAGAAGGUGCAAGACGUACGCGGAGUAACUUUUGAAGUUGAAAUUGAAGAUCCUCAAUUUGCCAUCAACUAGCUUUGUAAUUUGAAGGAGGUCUUUGACCAACUAAGGGAUACACCGGAUAAUCAGCUUUGCUACUCGGUCUUCUUACUUCGUGGCCAUGCUAGGGCCAUGUGGGGAGAUAUAACAAUUGAUGAGGAGGAUCCCUUCUCAUUGGGCUGGGAAGAGUUCAAAAUGAGAUUCAAAGUCAAGUUCAUUCUUGAGCAGUGGAAGGAGGACAAGGGGUUGGAGUUUAUGUCCCUCAAGCAUGGAAAUAUGAUCCUAAUGGAUUGUUACAUUAAGUUCACUCGAUUAUUGAUGCGGCAUCCUACUAUCCCGGCUGCGCGUAAGGCAAUGAAGAAGAAACGGUUCCUAGUAGAACUUCAAACAAGCAUUCAGAAGGGGCUAGCAAGUUUUGACAUGACUAGCAUGACGACCAUCAAGCAGGCAACAAUGAGAGCUGAACACAUGGAUAACAUGGGAAAGGCAGAAUGGAAGGAAAAGAAUGAAGAUAGGAAGAGGAAGGCAGUGAAUCAAACACCAAGUCACUCUAACGAGGGAUCAGUGAUGAAAAAGGGAUCGAGUGUGAUAACACAUUAGAGACUAAUGCUGACGAUGUUGUGUCAACAGAUAAGUUCCUCACCUUUGGAAAAUCCAAUUUGUCAACAUUGGGGGCAGAAACAUUUUGGAGAAUGCAGAAUGGUGUGAAGGGGAUGCUUUAGGUGCAGUGAAUUAGGACAUUGGGUUAGCAACUGCCCAUUAAUGGAUGGUCAAGCACCAUAUGAGGUCUCUAUUCAAUAGAAUAACCGAGCUCCAUUUAGGAGUGUAUUUACAGGAGGCAGUGGAGAUGGUUUAUAAGGAAGCAAAGGUUCUCUAGUGGGUUGAGGAAUGGGAGCCAACACACAACCAUUAGGUGGUUGUUCCCAAACCACAUGAGUUGCACAGAUAGGAGGAAAUACUCACGGUCGUGUUCAUGCUAUGACACGGGAGGAGGCGAAGGAGACAUCUGACACUGUUACUGGUAAAGUCUCCAUCCUUGGAUGUACCUUAUAGGCCUUGUUUGAUACUGGUUCUACGCAUUCCUUCAUUUCUUGACAAUCUGCGUUAAACUUGCAAGUAGAACCUGAAGACAUUCUGUUACAUUCAAAGAAUAAGAAGGCGUAUACUGAAACCUCCAAAUUUUUCUUAGUGUUCUAAGGGAGAAAAGGUUAUAUGCCAAGUGUUUAAAAUGUGAGUUUUGGUUCAAGAAAAUUCUAUUCCUGGGACACCUAAUAUAUGGAAUGGGAAUUAAGAUUGACCAAAGAAAAAUUGUUGUGGUUAAGUGGAAGCCACCCACUGAUGUAUUAGAGUUACGUAACUUCCUUUGUAUGGCAGGUUAUUAUAGAAGGUUUUGUGGAAGGAUUCUCAAAUAUUGUUGCACCAUUGACAAAGCAGUUGAGAAAGGACACUCCUUAUAAAUGAGACGAGGUGUGUGAAUCAAGUUUUGAGGAGUUGAAGACUACACUCACUACCACGACAGUACUCACCUUACCAACCCCUAGAGGAGAAUACAUGGUGUCCAGUGAUGCUUCUUAUCAGGGUUUGGGUUGUGUAGUAAUGGAUAGGAAGAUAAUCGCCUAUGCAUCAAGGCAAUUACGAUCACACCAUGCCAUAUACCCUACCCAUGAUCUAGAAUUAGUGGCUGUCGUUUUUCUUUAAAUAUAUGGUGAUACUACCUUUAUGAUGAAACAUUCAAGAUUAUGACGGAUCAUAAGAGAAUUAAACAGUUGACAGAGGAGGUGGAUUUAGUUAUUGAAAGACUAUGACUUCAUUAUGGAAUACCAUCCUGGAAAAGCUAAUGUUAUAGCAUAUGCAUUAAGCAGAAAGGAGUGACUUCUAGAUUUGGUGGAGAUUCGAGCCUGAAGGGUGGAGAUGGAAGUUGAUGAGCUUGCAACAUUGAUGGGUCGAUUAACUAUCAGGCUCUUACUUCAUGAUCGAAUGCAAGAUAGACAAAGAGAAGAUUUCAAGCUUCAAAAGAUCAUGAAUGAGGUAGGAAAAGGGGAGAAAAACCAGUUUGAGAUAUCAAAUGGCUUGCUAAAGUGAAAGGACAAGUGUGUGUCUUGGAUGUGGAUAACCUACAUAAAGAGGCAUUGGACGAGGCGCAUUCUUCAGUUUAUGCCAUGCAUCCAAGGCGAUAAAGAGGUACCACACAAUUAGAUCGCAUUUUUUGUGGCCGGGAAUAAAGAGAGAGGUGGUUGAACAUGUAUUGACUUGCUUAGUCGGCCAAAAGAAAAACGUGGAGCAUCAGACACCCGUCAGGUGAACAACAUUCGUGACCUAUUCCAUUAUGGGAGUUUGAGCAUAUUACUAUGGAUUUUGUGAGCGGUUUACCUCCUACAAAAGAAGGGAAAGAUGCAGUAUUGGUAAUUGUGGACUGAAUGACUAAGGUAGCUCACUUCAUUCCAAUCGGAUGGAAGCCCAACAAUGAAGUGGUAGCAAGGCUAUAUGUGGAGAACAUAGUACAACUUCCUAGGGUUCCCCCUCAAUUGUGUCGGAUCGAGACCCUAGCUUCACAUCACAUUUCUGGCAAAGUUUGCAUCAAGCAUUAGGAACAAGGUUGAAAUUCUCUAAAGCUUAUCAUCCGUAGAUAGAUGGGCAAUCAGAGUGGACCAUACUUACUCUUGAAGAAGUUCUACGGAUAUGUGUAAAUGAGUUAGAAAAGCCAUGGACAAGGUUGUUACCUCUUGUAAAAUUUUCUUACAAUAACUCCUACCAUAGUAAUUUGUGCACUGCUCUAUAUGAGGCAUUGUAUGGACGGAAAUGUAGAACUCUAUUGUGUUGGGAUGAAGAAGGGGAAAGACAGAUGAAGGGGCGAAAACUAACUCUGGAAACAGCUUAAGGUGAAAGUUAUUCGAGAAAGGCUUAGAGUGGCUAGGAUUGCUAGAAAUAGUAUGCAAACCGUCGAGCUCUGUAAAUAAAUUAUAAGGGCGGUAAAAAGGUUUUCCUAAAGGUGUCUCCUUGGAAGGCCAUGCUGAGGUUUCGGAGAAAAGGGAAGUUGGCCCCAAGGUACAUUAGACCUUACGACAUUAUUGGUGAAGUGGGACCAGUUGCUUAUGUCUUAGCUCUAUCGAAUGACUUGGAUCGAAUUCAUAACGUAUUUAAUGUGAGUAUGCUAAAAAAGUAUCGCGUGGACCCAUCCCAUGUGAUCAAACUGGAUGAGGUAGGUUAGAAGAAGAUCUGAUGUAUCAGGAGGUGCUAGUCCAAAUUGUAUAUUCACAUAUUCGGGUUUUAAGAAGUAAGCGGAUCCCGAUGUUGAAGGUGAUAUAGAGGAAUCACGAGGGUGAGUAUCCUAUGUGGGAAACAGAGGCGAAUAUGCAAGAGAAGUAUCAUGAGCUUGUAGACACGUAUCUACCAAGUUAAAUUUCUUACUAUGUGAUUUUAUAUGCUUAUGUUGUGAUCACUUAUCAAAGGUCUUACAUACCUAAUAUUUGGAAACUUGACUUGUUAUGUGCUUAUUUGCAUGUGAUGCAUAUGUGGUUAGGCGACAAAAUAUAGAUUCGUAGUAAGAGCUAAAGUUAAGAUUCUGAGGAUGAAAUCUCGUAAGAGGGGAGAAGUUGUAACAUGUCAUCUUAACUGCGCCACAAGUUUGUUUAACUCAACAUACUACUGGUCAUAUCCUUUGAAUAUCUGCAUAUCCAAAGUUGAUGAACUUAGUAGGUGAGUUUAAUUAAAUGUGAAGUUUCCACCCACCACAUUUUUAGUAGAUGGGAAGAAAAAGAUGGCGAUACACCCACCUAUCCACAAAAUGUCAUUGCGUUUCCUUCCCUUGUCUGCGUAUGAUAAGCAUAUUCAUCCCUUAAGUUGCUAAGAGGAAGAAGACAAUAACAUUUGACUAUAAAAAUACAUUAGUUUUACAGUUAAGGAUGAAUACAUCAGUCGGUAGUUAAACUUGAGAGGAGGUAAUUGUGCAUUCUAGUUGGGAUUAGAGAGUACAGAAGUUGAGAGGGGCUUCGACCCGAAGGCUCAUACCGGUGUUUCUGCUAGCCUUUUUAGUGAGGGCCACCAGCAUAUCCGAUAGGGUUAAAUGUUCCUUUACGUGUCAAUUUUUAUGUCAUAUGCAUGCAUGCUAGGAGAGUGACCCUAUGCAUUUAUUUCAUUAUGUUUACUAUAUUUGUGACUUAUAGUGGAUAUGAAAUAUGUUAUGUUGUCUUGCUAUUAUUUUUGGCAUGAUAUAUGUUGUGACCUUAUCUUUACUUGAUGAGUAAUCUCCUAGAUAAUUAUUUUAUGGGAAAUAAAUGGGUAAAUGUUUGAUCACCUAAUUUAGGAACCAUAGGCUGGCGGUCUACAUGUGUGCAUAUUGCACUUCAGUUACAUGUGUGUUACGUGAUGGAUUUUUUGUUAUGUGAUUAUCUGCACCCUAGGUUAACUCAGUGCUAAAGACAAUCACUCAGUGAUUUGCACUGACCCCUUAUUUUUCCUCAGACUUACAGUCAAAGACGCUGGUACACACUGAGAUUCUACUGUUGAUCAUCAUGUCAGGUAGAAUCAAAAAAUGGGUCUUGAUCCUCACUGUUUAUUUAUGGGUUUUAAACUCGUUUGUGUUUUAUAUUGUUUGACCAUAUGUAUAAGUGAUCUGACAUCGUGUGUAUUUAAGUGAUGCUAGGUUGUCUUAUUAUGUGUAAUGGCCAUAGAGGCGACGUCUUUGGUAACUCUACUAGUAUUUGUGGAGAGGAAGACUUUUUACCUCUGCCUUUCCUCCUAGACCUCUAUUAUGGGUUGAUACAACGUGAGUUUAUAUAAUCUUGGUGCAACGAUUUGAAAGGUGGCUAUUUCGAGUUUCUCACAAUGUGGGUCAAAACGGGCUCAAUAAUUAACAAGUUCAAUAGGGGACUUAUCUGGUGAAUGACUUUCGUAACGUAGCAUCCCAUAACAUUUUUUUGCUAUUUUUACUAGAAUCAACAUGAUUUUAUGAUCGGUGUGUUUGGGGUGUUACAACAUAUUUGAUCUCCAUCCAUGAUUUGUGAGUAUUUUUCAGAGCCUCUCACUAGCAAUUCUCUCUAUCCAAAAAACAUUCGACCUACCCUUGCUAUCUAUCUUUCGGUCAUUCAAUUUACCACCAAGUUUGACGACGUGGCUUUGUGAAGUGGCUAAACUUAACUGAAAAUGUAUGGAAAGGAUAAUGAAAGUGAUCAUUUUUCAGGUUGGUUAAGUAAAAGGGGGAACAAGGAAAAUUUAAUAGUCGAAGGGUUUGAUAUUAACUUGUUAAAGUAGAGGGGGCCAAAAUACUAUUAUCCGGAUUAUAAAAUGAGGAAGAAACGAGGGGACGAUAAUGUAUAAAAGGCAUGGUUAACUUAGCAAAGUAGAGUGGGAAAAAUAUUAAAACCCUUAUUAUAAAAUGAGGAAGGAGGACGGGACGACAAUGUAUAAAAGGCGUGGUUAAGCAAUAUCGGACUGGCCGGUCCGACCGGUUCUACCGCAAACUGGCGAAAGAGCUGAAACCGAGUCGUUGGUUGAUGAGACUGGUCAAAACCAGGCAUUGACGCGGGUUGACCGUCAAAUUUGGCCAUUUCGAGUGAAAUUGGUUGGCCGGAUGGACCCGAUAUUUGUCACUACACUUUUUAUUUUUCAAAAAAGGAAGAGUGGGAUUCGAACCACGAUCUUUCAAGUAGAGAGGAUGAGUGAUUGCCAUCUCUACUGAUAUGAUAAUUUAAUUAAAACGUGCAUUUAAGGGAAAAACUCUAAAAUGCCACGACCUAUAUACAUAUCGCCAAAAAUGUCAUCACAAUAUUGAUAUAGUUUCUACGUCACGGCCUAUCUAGUUUCAAGCAGAAAAUGUCCAGUCGUUAGUUUUCUCCGUCUUCCGUUAGUCUAUUUCGUUUCAUUUUGCCAUGCCAUUUUUUAGGAUGAGUGAUUGCCAUCUCUACUGAUAUGAUAAUUUAAUUAAAACGUGCAUUUAAGGGAAAAACUCUAAAAUGCCACGACCUAUAUACAUAUCGCCAAAAAUGUCAUCACAAUAUUGAUAUAGUUUCUACGUCACAACUUAUCUAAAAUUUUUUUAAAAUGUCCCGCCGUUAGAUUUUUCCAUCUUUGAGCUGACGUGGAUAGCGUGUCGUUAAAUGAAUCAGCGUAACUGGAUGUUUUAAAUACCACAUUGCAUUACGUUUAUCUGACUGCAUAAUUAAUAAUUUAUUUUUAAUUUUAAAACUCAAUUUAUCAAAUUUAUUCUGCACCGUCAGUUUCAUGUUAUCACCACCUUCCUUCUUUUAAACCCUACUUCGUCCACCAUGGCUAGAACUCGCCUCCUUCAUUGUAAGCUCUUCUUCCCAUCUUAUCUCCAUUUCUUAAUUUCUUUCCGUUACAAUGCAACAACAAUUAGUAUUAAUUUGGCCUCCUGACAUUUCUAGAAAAUUUAAAAAGCCUAGGAAUCCAAACCUGGAAGAUGCUAUUCGGGAAGGAAAUAGUGAUGGAGCUGGCUUUCUACGAUGCCUACGCCGGAGAAUCCAAAGACGGCAGCUUGUCCGCCUCACCCGCAAGAUUCUCAAUGGGAGACGCCGUCUCUAUGUGCGUGGUGGUCUCCAAACCGGUGGGAUCCACCAAAUGUUGCACCUCCUACGACGACUUGUCAUACGCGAAUUUAGCGUUGUGUAGAUCCAGAUUCUCGAGGUUGAAAGGCGUUGUUCAUUUGCAAUCGGAAGAACACAAGAGUUUCAAGGCUGAUGCCCUGGACUGGAGUGGGAUCUGAUCUACAGAUAAAGUACUGAUUUAAUUUCAGCCCGCAUAGAAACUGGAAGCUCGAAUGUGACGUCAUUGACUGAAAGGACAAAGGUCGUCAACGACGAAGAACAUGAAGCAAACCUGGAGGAAUCGAACCAGUGAGAUUGUUCGAAGAUAGAUUGAGAUUCACAACACCUGGCAACAAAUCAUCGACAAGGUCGAAGAGACAAGCUCUCCGGAGAAUCUGUUGUCACAGAUGUCGAAGUGAGGGAAAGAUGGAAAAAGAAUAGAUUAAAUAGUUCAGAUGGACGGUGAAGCUUGAUAAAUAAAAAAUAUUUACAUUUUAAAUUAAAAUUGAGUUAAUAAUUAUCCAAUCAUAUAAAUAUAAUUCUAAAAAAUAAAUAUAACCCUAAAAAUUAACAUGUGGCGGGUCAAAUGGUCAAUUUUACCUACUCAUUUGACAUCGUCAAGUCCACGUUGCGUUGAAUAAGGAAAACUUUACCGACGGGACAUUUUUGGUAAAAUUUUAGAUAGGUCGUGACAUAAAAACUACAUUGAUAUUGUGGUGACUUUUUUUGCGAUAUGCCUAUAGGUCGUGGAAUUUUAGAGUUUUAUUGAUAAUAAUAACAAAACAUUAUGAUAGCUAAUUAACACUAAAAACUAGGAUAUUAACAAAAAUUAAGUAAAUUGUGCAUUAGAUCUCGAUUAUUUGAUUAAUAAAAACUUUAAAUCAUUUAUAUAAUUUAAAACUUCUUAACAAAUGACUCAAUAACUAUAUUUUUGACAAAUUAAAUUAUGUCAUUAUGAUAUUGAACUCUCUAUACUACCGAUUUGAUCCGGGUUAAUCAAAAAAUCGUCCAGUCCGACUUAACUAUAUUUAUUUAUUUAUUUAAUAAUUAAAACGGUCCAACCUGGUUUUGAUAACGGUCGGACCCGAUCGAACCAGAAAUGAUCCAACCUAAUUUUGAGAACGGUCGAACCCUAAAUGAACCACAAAACUGUAAACGCCUAACCCCAAAUUUCGGUUAGUCUUCCCAUUUUUAGGUCAAAAUUUUCGAUUUUCAAAAUUUGGGAUGAUUGGGUACACUUGUAGUGAACAUUGUGCUUGGAAUUUUGUCAAUGAUUGCCUAGGAUUAUUAUUGUGUGCUUGAACUUGUUGUUCACUUGGUUUUUCAUUUUUUCAAAAAUGGUAGAAUUUUUUAGUUUAGCCGAUUGUCGGAAAUCUGACAUUUUGAGUUGUUCUUGAUUUCCAGGUGUUUCAUUUGAUGGUUAUAUGUAUUGAUUAUGCCUCUCCCCUGCUUGUUUUCUCAGUCUCUUAUUGUUCGAUGAAAUUUUCUUUUUCGUCAAAUUGUUGGGAUACUGACAUUUUGUCAAUUUUUUCUGAAUUUUGAUAUGUGAGCUGUCUUGUUCGAAAAUUUUGUGCCCAUUGUGCUUCAAUACCAUAUAUGAUGCUUAUGAUUGCUGUUUGAUGUGAAUUAUGAUUUUUGGUAUAUGAUGCUCCAAUUGUGGCUUCAGUUUUGCCCCUUCCAGAUAUGGCCUAAAGGAUUUACAACUUCCCAGAACAUAAUGAGUUUGCCCCUCCGAUACGGAGUGUAACGGACUUGUUUAGUGGCCCCAAGGGGUACAUCGAUUUGCAGGGUUUUGUGGACAAAGGUCGGGGAGGUCUUCUGAAAAUUUACAGCGACUAAGUAGGUAUAUGGGAGCUGGUACAUGUCUCUGACUUGGAGCUUCCACACACGACCAGGGAGUUCUACUCCAUCCUGAAGAUCGUGAAAUACACUUCGACUAGACAGGCGGGUAAUAUUACCUUCUGACUUGGGGUUUGGGCUUUCUCCUUUUUGGCAGAAAAAUUGGCAAAGCAUAUGGGUUUUCUAUACUCGCGAUCAGUUGGCCAACUUGAAGCUGAUGUCGUUGGCCACUAUUGACAUGAAGCCAACUCCGAACUCGAGGGAGUUUUGGCAGUUUAUGUCGGUGCCAUGUAGAUUAAGAGGCCAUUGUUGAGGCUUAUUCACUUGAUGUUUCGACGCGCCAUCACUUCUAGGAAGGAGUUUAGCAACUGGGGAGUUGUGACUACCACAGACUUGUGGCUCUUCUACUUUCUCGAGAAGGAAGUGAAGGUGCACCUCGCCGAAUUGCUGGUUGGGCUUUUCAGGCAUGUCCUCGAGAUGAGAUAUUCGAGAGUUCUUUUUGUAGGGGACUUCAUCGCAUGACUGGUGUGAUAACUUGGAGUGUUGGAUGCUUUCUACAAGGACCCAUUGCUCCAACACGGGUACCCCAUCACUAUAACGAUGCUUCAUGAUCAUAGAGUGCCUAAUUUGGGAGUUGGUGUUGUUUCAGCGGGACCAGAGAUACUAGAACGUAAUAGGACAUACUUCCCCGUAGAGUCAGAUGAGACUCUUACAGCCGACUUGGGUGGUUUACAGAUCAUCAUGAGUGAUGUUGUGAACACCCAGAGAGGAUUGAGGCAGGAUUUUCAAGAGUUUUGCCAGGACGUACAGUAGUAUGCCGCCUAGACAAGAGAUGCUUGGGGACGUUAGGUUCGGUGAGUUGAGCAGUUUGAAGAGACUCAGGCUCAGCACCCUCAGUAGAUUUCGCAACAGGUUCAGCAGAUUACAUACAUACACCAGUAGCAACACUGGCCGAGUGAACACAUGUCCUACUACUAGGACAACUACUUCACCGGAGUGACCUACCCCCUUACGUGGCCAACAAAUCCACCAGCACCGCGGUGGCCAGAGUAUGGCAUGUACCCAUGGUUCCCAAGGUACCCAUGUCCUCCGCUAGAUCAGUGAUUUUGGGACGUAUCAGUGACUCAUGCUUUUAUGUUUUAUUUUUCCAUUUGAGACUUGGUGAAUUUUCUUUUUCUUGUUUUGUCUUUUGGUCUAUAUAACGGAUGAUAACACUUGUUACAUCUAUCACUAGUAUGUUGUUUGUGUUAUGGUUGGCAGGUCCCAAAAAUGAUUCUUCUAUCGCAUCUAACCACAAAACUCCAUUCCAUCAACUCAAUUCGGUAUCAACUCAACUCUUCUCUUAUUUGACCCCUUGUGAGGGUAAUGUUAUGAUGUUCUCGGAUGAAUUAGGGUGUUAGUCAUUUCACUUGAUUUCUUUAAUUGAACCUUUGUCACUCAACAUUUGAAAUUUCUACUUAAACUUGAAAACUUUGGAUGACAUGGAUGCAUAUUUAGUAUAGUAUUGCUACUUGAGGGUGAAUAGGAUGCAUGAUAGAUCAUUUUGGGACCACCUCCUGAUUUUCUCGAAUCGAGUUUAGAAUCAAUUUAUGCACUUGGUUACUCAGUCUUGAUGUCUACCGACGUUGCAAACAAUUAAUUCCCCUAUCCAGUCGCUCUAGUUAUUUCAAGUCAUAUGUGACUAGAUGGUCCGAGUAAGGUGCAAACGAGGCCAAUGUGCCCAAAUUAUCGUCGGAGUUCGGUUGUGAUUCAACACACAUGGCGACUUUGAGUCUAUCGCCUGUAAGCUAGUCCCUUCAUUCGAUCUAUUUGGAUGAGAGCCUUAGCCCGAUCAGGGUCACAACUACCCCCACCUGAAAAGAUACCCCCCAAAAGCUAUGCACAAAUUUCGAAAGAUGGGUUUGCAAUUAAUUGAGUAAUUCAUUUGACCCAAGGUGUUUAACCUAUCAUAUAUAGAAAAAUUGUAAGACAAGAGGAGAGUGCUCUGAAUUUGAUAUAUUAUUGAAGUAGGCACUUCCUCUCUCAGGACAGGAAAAAAUACCUGGCUAGGACCAUCUAUUUUGAGCAUAACUAUUCAGUACCCAUGUUUUGUUUGGUCGGUAGGUGUUGAGUAGUACUAACUAUAUGCAUAAGUUUGUUCUUUAUUUUGAUUAGAAGACUCGGUAAAUAUAAUUGUGUGGUUUCACUUUCAUAAUGUUUAGAGUUUGUUUAGAGUGCGAAUAGUCAAGUUGCUCAAGGACAAGCAAGGUUCAUGUGUGGGGGGAUUUGAUAGUGAUAGUAUUUGUAGUGGUUAUCUAUCUCUAUCUACAUGCUUUUGAAGUGAAUAUUAGCUCGUUUGUGCUUCAAUUCAGUGUGGUUUUGCGUCUUGGCAUUGUGUCCCUCGCCCCGUUCACUUGGACCGUUUCGGUCCAUUUCAUGUGUUUCUUUGUAGUAUUUGUUAUACACAGGUACUUUCGAAGAAGGUGGUCUGGCUAUGAAGCUACGGACGCGGAAUAGAGCACAGUUCGAACUCGAACGAAAGGACGGUGCAAGACUUGGUAAAGAAGAAGGGAUACGCGCCUUGCAUUACUGCACCCCGCACACCCCUAAACUUGAAUUACCCUCGAAGCUAAAGGGGGUGCACGGUGUGCACAGCAGGCCCUAAAGCUGGAAUUACUAUCAUUGCUAAAGGGGGUGCACGACAUUCACCUCCCGGAUGCAGCAACUACCAAAUAAAAUCCCGAAUUCAAGGAAAGAGAAACAAGUUCUUCUUCAACAAAAAAUUCCCAUGAUUUCUCCCAACUUCUCUCUGCAAAAACGUCCAUUUAUUCACCCCUAGAAUUCUAAUCGAAGAUCCGAAGGAGUUAUCAUUGAAGAUUGAUGUUAGGAUUUAAGUUAGAAGGCCAAAAGUGAAGAUUGGAGCAAGCUUGAUUCAUCUUCUCUUUAUCAAGAUGAUGGUUAUGUCUUUUUUGAUUUUUCUUCUUCUAGAGUUAUGAGUAGCUAGAUCUCUAAAGUUUUUGGUUGGGUUGUAAUGAAUUUAGCUAUUGAUAAUCUCCCUAAAAUUACAGGGUCGACCAUUGUUGGAUAAUUGGAUUUGAAUGAAAGAUUGCUUUGAUUGUUGGUUUUCAACCUCGUUCUCGUUUUGACUUGAAUUGGGUCAAAUCUAUGAAACCCUUUGUUUGAUAGAGUUAGGAAUUUAUAUGAUUAACAAUCUAAGAUAGAAGAACAUUAUCAGUGGAGUAAGCCAAUAGCUUUAUUCUACCUUUCGUGUUUCUUUUAGUUUUAAAGGUUGUUUAUCGAGUAAUUGGCGGGCGUUCUGAUUUGCACCUAAUGGAUCAAGUGGGUGUAGGUAUAUAUAGCUUCGGAGUUGAUGGACCAAGUUAACACUAAUUCCAAUUGCUUGUGAUUUCCCUUAAUUCAAAGAGUGCACAUUAUCACUUUGUAGAACUUCUCGGUGUUCAUUAUUGGUUAGCCUAGUUGAGGUGAUUUCAACCUUGAUUGGGAAGCUAGUAGUGGUAAUCUGCGUGCAUAAUUGUUUCGUGGAUUCAUACGAGUGAUAAGAGGAAUUAAGUUAUUCAAUCCAAUUCCAACGUUUGCUCGAUUCGACUACUAUUAGGAAGUUGAGCUUGAUGAAUUAUCCCUCCCAAGAACAUGUCUUCUCCUUCUCUUCAAACUUAAUUCUUGAGUUCUAAUUGAUAGUGAUAAUUAAUUUAGUAUCAUAACUUGAAACCAAUCCCAAAUUAUUCAGUCUAGACCGUGCUAUUAAGUUUGAGUAGAAGCAUAGCGAGAGGAAUCUUUGUAUACAUACGACACUUGUGUUGUCGAUAUAACUUAACAGUUAUUUUGGCGAUCAACUAGCAUCCUUAAACAAAAGCUAAACUUCUAUACCCUUGGUUGCGAUUGUGUAUUACUAUUAUAUUUAACCAUAUUGGUUGCAUAGCUUUCAUGGGAGGAGUACAUAAUUGGACCCAGGGGUGUUCAGCUAUAUCUUGUGAUUUUUUCGUCCAAUUGAUGGACUCGUUAUAACGAUGGCCUUUAACUGUUUGUCCUCCUUUGGAAAGAAGAAAAACUUAUCGGUGAAUACUUUCGUGUAUUUGGUAUACCAAAGUUUUCAGUGCGCGCGAUUUUCAUGGGUAGCGUAGAUAUCUCAUCAACAUUUAUUUUAAGUAUUGAAUCUAGACGCUUGANNNNNNNNNNNNNUAAGUAUUGAAUCUAGACGCUUGAUAAUUCAUAAUGUUUUAAAUCUUAGUUUCAUAUGUCUUUUUUUGCUUUCAAACAUAAUUUGAACUUUCAAACUCGUCACUCUCGUUAUUUACUAUAACCGUGUUCCGAUCGGGUAUUUUGAACAUGGGACAAAUUUGUAAUAUGAAACGCCUAAACACUUCAUGCUCGAUAAAUCUAAAAGGAAGUUCAUCCAGUAAAAUCAUUUCUACAAAAUCUUUCCUCGAAUCCAAUUGGUCAAAUUUCCAAUUACUUACUUGGUAAUUGACGAUGUUUAACCGCAGAUUCAAAGUUGACAUCACCUUGCUGUUUUUCAUGGGAAAAUAUGAAAUAAUAUUUUAGAUCAAUUUCUUUAAUCUUAUUAUGUCAGAAGGUAUGGAGCUUCAUAAAAUAGUGGAAUUUGUAAAAGAUUUCGGUGUCAGAACGAACAAAAAAAUAGUGGAAUUUGUAAAAGAUUUCGGUGUCAGAACGAUCAUCAAAUCGUAUUGUCUGACCCUCGUCUCAGUUCUCAGAGAAUCGAAAUAUAAGUGACCUUGGCAAUAUUAAGCAUUAAUCGAGCGAACAAGAACGAUUUUGUCUUUAAAUGAUCAAAUUAUUUGUUCUUGUAUCCCUAAAAGGUUGAACUCCAUGGUCAAUAAAAUCACAGAAAUUAUAGAACUGGAAUUUUUCUGCCUAACUAGAUCUAAAAUUUUAUGUAAAUUCCUUGUAAUGGAUGUGCCUUUUGGGUAACGAAUAUAAGCAGCACAAUUUGUUUCUAAAAAGAAUCAAAGCGACAGAGAUGCAUUAGUAGAGAAGAAACAAAUCAUAUUAANNNNNNNNNNNNNNNNNNNNNNNNNNNNNNNNNNNNNNNNNNNNNNNNNNNNNNNNNNNNNNNNNNNNNNNNNNNNNNNNNNNNNNNNNNNNNNNNNNNNNNNNNNNNNNNNNNNNNNNNNNNNNNNNNNNNNNNNNNNNNNNNNNNNNNNNNNNNNNNNNNNNNNNNNNNNNNNNNNNNNNNNNNNNNNNNNNNNNNNNNNNNNNNNNNUGGAACAUAGAGCAACAUAAUGACUAGGAUUUCACACAAAUGACAGAUCAAUCAAUAUAUUGCACUGGCUGGGGGGGGGGGCUGUCAAGUGCAAAGCUAGCACUAACAGAAACAACAACGUUAGAUUUGUAUAAUACCCAACUCAACAACUUAUACAAGUCUCACAAAUUGAACAAUACCCAACUCAACACUGUACAGUACCUGGUUAAUAUGGCUCUUAAUCAGAAGAAGAAGAAGAAUCAGUGAUUUUUAUGUGAAGGGGUACAAUCUUUUUAUGUUAGUAAAAAUGGAAUGUUCACACUAAGGGCUGCAUUGAUGUAGACAAUCAGUGAUUUUUCAGGUUUGGAAAUACUAUAUGGAUGGAACACUCACACUAGUCAGGCAUGUCCGACUUACAAUUUUGACUCACUUCCAUUGCGUUUCCCAGUUAGUGGAAAAAAUGUUUUAUGGGGAGUCGUCAGUUCUUGGAACCCACUAGUUAAGCUGACAAAUUACACACAAGUACCCCAACCUAACAAACUUUCACGUGUAAUGAUAAUCCUAAUGAUAGUAGNNNNNNNNNNNNNNNNNNNNNNNNNNNNNNNNNNNNNNNNNNNNNNNNNNNNNNNNNNNNNNNNNNNNNNNNNNNNNNNNNNNNNNNNNNNNNNAACAUAGAGCAACAUAAUGACUAGGAUUUCACACAAAUGACAGAUCAAUCAAUAUAUUGCACUGGCUGUCAAGUGCAAAGCUAGCACUAACAGAAACAACAACGUUAGAUUUGUAUAAUACCCAACUCAACAACUUAUACAAGUCUCACAAAUUGAACAAUACCCAACUCAACACUGUACAGUACCUGGUUAAUAUGGCUCUUAAUCAGAAGAAGAAGAAGAAUCAGUGAUUUUUAUGUGAAGGGGUACAAUCUUUUUAUGUUAGUAAAAAUGGAAUGUUCACACUAAGGGCUGCAUUGAUGUAGACAAUCAGUGAUUUUUCAGGUUUGGAAAUACUAUAUGGAUGGAACACUCACACUAGUCAGGCAUGUCCGACUUACAAUUUUGACUCACUUCCAUUGCGUUUCCCAGUUAGUGGAAAAAAUGUUUUAUGGGGAGUCGUCAGUUCUUACCAAUAACUCAUCGUUUCUAACAACAACGAACUCAAUUUGAUGGUAAGACUGAACUGAGGCAUGCACCCAUUAUGAAAUCUGGUUUUGAGAUUUUGGGACAAGUUGACAAUGUGAAUGUAGUAUUCGACAAGACUGAAGAUCCUAAGACCGGGAAGAAAAGAUCUCGAGAUAGUGAUAAGAAGGUGAAGCAAUGAAAGAAACGAACCAUAUUCUUUGAACUCCCUUAUUGGGUGUUCAAUCUCAUGUUACACAAUCUUGAUGUAAUGCAUAUUGAGAAGAAUUUUUGUGAUAACUUGCUCUUCAUAUUGCUAAAGAUGCGACUCAUUCAACUGAUUUCAAAUUGCUGGCAAGAGGUUCUUACAAAGAACCAAACAAGUUUUCAACAUUUGAUGUGAAUGGCUAUCGAUUCCUCACUCUGGAAUGGGAGAGGAUGCUAAAAACACAUAACAGUUGUGUUUGUUAACUUUGGUACUAAAAGUUAUGCUAGUUCAGUAGAAAUUAACCCGACGGAUAGUUCAGUCCCAUGUUAUGGAAAAUGAAAGAUAUCAUUCAAUUGAAUUACUGCAGACGAUUAGUCACAUUAUUCAAAUGCAAGUGGGCUAAUACCCUAACAAACAGGGGCUAUAGGAAAGAUUAUCUUAGAUUUGAAUGUGUUACUUCUCUCAUGUAAUACACACCGGUAGUCAAGCUGGAGAUGAGCCAUAUGUGGCAGCAAGUAAUUCCAAAUGGUGUACUAUGUUUGAUAUGAAGGAGGCAGAAUGGUGUGUUCCGAUUCAUAUUAAACCGAGGGACUUGUAUGAAAUGGGUGAUGAAACCAAUUCAGGACAUGCAUCCGAGGCAUUCCAGCGGUAAGAAUUGCCUAAUGUUGAUGACGGAUCAAACAAAUCUCUCUCACGGUUUAGUGUGGAAGCAAAAUUUGAUUGAGGCAUUAGACCUUUUCUAACAUUUGAUUGUUCAAAUUAAUAGAUAUAUUUUAUAUAUAGCCAUUAGUCUCUGAGUGUAUUAUAUGUUUUCUGUAAUACCCCGACCCUAAUACAAAAAUAUUUAUGUAAAAAGUCUCUAAUCUAUCCGUAAAAAAAGGGUUUAUAUCGAUAUUAGAUAAUAAUAAUUAUAUUUGGAAAUGGUGUAAUUAAUUGCUAAUCAAAGGGGUUGAGCUCAUUAAGUUUCACAUGGUUUAAGUAUAGUUAAUCAGUUUGUAAAAUGAUCAUGGAUUUGUUAGUAGCUCAACUGGUUAACCAACCAAUCCUCAAGUCUAUUGACUAGAGUUCAAAUACUAGGAGAAGCAUUUAUUUUUAAUUUUAGGUUCAUUUUCACUCAGCCAUAAAACGACGUCGUUUUGGGACAAGUGGAUUUGGUCAUCACCGUUGUCUUCCUCACCUCCUCCGACCAGCCUUGAUACCCGACAACAAACAUUUUUAGCGCAUCCCAAACGAUUGAAGGCCGUAAUCGGCGUGUCAAACCUUGAUGCCACAUUUUAGACUUAAACCCUCCGAUGAGGGCAAUCACAUAGCUAUUUAAAGCCAUCCAGAAUCAAUUUUGAGGAGGAGCAAGCUUGAAACGGUGUUUCCUUCUUCUCUGAUGUCGAUUUGCGUCGGCAAGUUCUAAACCAACCCAAGACCUUUAAAUACCUUGGUUGACUUCGUAUUAUCAAGACAAAACCUUACGUAUCCUUCGAUUUGAGUUUUUUCGAGUUUUAGUGGUGAUUCAAGGCUCACCGGAGCCCGGGUUCGUCGUCGCCGGAUUCUGGAAAUAAGUCUGGAAAAAUGAAUUCCCGUCGGUAAAUAUUCAGUUUAGUCCCUGAACUUUCAUACUUCCAGUUUAGUACCUAAACUAUCUUAUUUUGUUCUACGCAGUCUGUAACUUUUAAAUUAUUCCAGCUGCGGCCCAAUACUUUCCAGCUAUUGCAGUUUGGCCCGAAAGUGUUGAGUUAAGCCAUAAUUGCUGCAUUCUUGGACGUUUGACCGUAUUUCGAGUCAACCCGGUUAAUUCCAGGUGGGUUGGUUUAAGGGGGUAAUAUCUUCCAUUUUAAAUGUUUAAUAUGCAAAGUAGAGUCAGAGUUAUCCAAUGUGCUUUACAUGCUAUAUGGUUAUCUUUUUAAAUGAUUUUCAAUAUUGAUAUGAUAUGAUAACUUCGGAAGACUGACCCCGAGCCACCCACCAGUUCGUGACAGGUUAUAUGGUAUUAGAAGAAUAGAGGAUCUCUUCAUCUGCCGCCAGGCUGAAGUUGGGAUAUUGAUGAGACUGUAUAUUUCUGGGAUUUGUUUUAAAAGAUGGGUCCAUUCGCUGUUUGACACCAGUUUCCGGAAAUAAGUUGUUUGGCGUAAUAUUCCAGUUUUUCUGCAAAUGUUACCAGUAUCGUUUAUGUAUAAUUUUAAUUAUAUUUUGUACUAUUUCAAAACUAUGUCAUGUGUCCCGGGACAAUUUUUCGUUUCUUUCAAAAGGUAAAACUGGGAUGUUACAUUUUCAGUCAUGACAGACGUUAUGGGAAGUAGUAGCGCUGGAGGGCAUGGAGGUGAUGAUGAUCAGUGGCGUGUAAGAGGCGUCAGAGUGGCAAGUGAGUUGGACAAUAUAAAAAGUCUUAUAAUUAAAGAGCAUGUGUAGUGAUAUUGCAAUGAGUUGGGCGAUAACUUAAUUAAAACUGCAUUAAAAUCAAUGUAAAAGUGGUUAUUGAACAUUAUUUUUCAAUUAUAAAUAUAAUCAACCGUUAUUAUAGAUAUAAAAAUAUACUCUUUGUAUAAACACCGAUAAUUGGUGAAAGUACAUAUAGAGCACAAGCGAGUGAUCCAUCCCAAAUAAUUAACGAUUAUCCUUAAAGAUAGUUCUAUCAUCUAUGUUGUUUGUUGUAGGGGAAAUCAGCCAGAGUUUUUCUAAAGCCCUGUGUUUUAAAGAAUACAUGAUUUGCUUGCUCAUUUUAGACUAAUAGAACUUUUCCUUUUAUAUGUGCAUUUUCCAAAUACCCCUCCUCCUGACUAGAAAUUUUGGUAAACACUGAGUUUGUGGUCGGUCUAUUAAAUUAUUUGAGAUUUAAUCAACAGAUGACAAAGAAUAAAUUGAUAGGGGAUGAUGCUGGAGAGUAAGAAUGGAAUAUGGAGGGCCAUAUUAAACAGAAGAAAGAAAAUUUAACCGACGGCUGACGAAUCUGGAAUUCGGGAUGAGAUGGAGGAGAGAAAGGUAUGAGCGAGGGUAGUUUGGUAAACACACACAAAAUUGUUGUUUUAUUCAGUUUUGUGUCAAAAUACAAAACAUAUUCUACUUACCAAACAAUAUUUUUUAAUUUCCCCAAAUAUUUACAAAACUUCAAUUCCUCAAUUUCUAAAUUCCAAAUUUUCUCCAUUCUGCCUUACCUUAUAACAAACGACUCCUAAGGAAAGUGAAUUGUAACAAGAUAAAGUAUAGUAGGUACCGUAAUCAUUACUAAAAUAAUAGAGACUAUGCCUCGACAACAUAGUCCAAAACUCGGAUAUCAAUCCAAAACUCAUUCCGUUUGGUCAGAUAAAAUCCGAUCAACACGGGUAAUUGACGGGUACGAGUAGAUCUGAUAUCUGUUUAUAUCAAUAACGGACGGGGAUGGAUUUGAUGAUAUCCGCGUCAUAAUUCACCCGAAAGGUACCCAUCACUUAAAAUAACUUCGUGUGACUAUUAAUACAUAUAAAAUCAACAAAAAUUAAUAGAAAAAUUCUAAUUCUAUUUAUUUUUAUGAAAAAGAAAUUCUUAUUUACUUGUUAUAUUUGAUGUACAUUGGUUGUAUGAUUACCAAUUUUUAUUUUGUAAUUUAAAAAAAUUUCAGGCAGUGUUUAUUGUUCAACAUUUGAUUUUUUUUUAUAAAAAUUUUGGUUUUAAUAUUAAUAUCUGAUUAAACGAAUAAACCUGAAACUCAUAAUAGAUGGGGAUGGUUUUCAUAUUAUGCCCAUUUAAAUAAAACAAAUAGAUAUAGAUAAACUCUAACGAAUAAACGGACUAAUGAUGAAUAUACCAAAUACAUACCCAUACUCACCCAAGGCCAUCUUUUAAAUAUAAUUUUAGUACUUACUAACUACAAUACACCACCAAGACCAAAAUGGAAGUAAAAAUAAAUAUUAAAUACUAAUAUGAGGGAAUUUGGAUUUCCGGUAAAAAAACUGAAGACUAUUUGGUGGAGACAAAAAGGGAUCUGAACCUUCCAUUUUAGGUUCAGGAUCUUAUGGAUGAGAUGGCAAAUUUAAUUCAGGGGCGUUUCGCCAUUUUUAGGGUUUCUUUGUUUUUUUCAGGUUAUUUUAGUGUUUUCAUUUAAUAGUGGUUCGAGUACAAUUGUUUUUUUAAAAUUGNNNNNNNNNNNNNNNNNNNNNNNNNNNNNNNNNNNNNNNNNNNNNNNNNNNNNNNNNNNNNNNNNNNNNNNNNNNNNNNNNNNNNNNNNNNNNNNNNNNNNNNNNNNNNNNNNNNNNNNNNNNNNNNNNNNNNNNNNNNNNNNNNNNNNNNNNNNNNNNNNNNNNNNNNNNNNNNNNNNNNNNNNNNNNNNNNNNNNNNNNNNNNNNNNNNNNNNNNNNNNNNNNNNNNNNNNNNNNNNNNNNNNNNNNNNNNNNNNNNNNNNNNNNNNNNNNNNNNNNNNNNNNNNNNNNNNNNNNNNNNNNNNNNNNNNNNNNNNNNNNNNNNNNNNNNNNNNNNNNNNNNNNNNNNNNNNNNNNNNNNNNNNNNNNNNNNNNNNNNNNNNNNNNNNNNNNNNNNNNNNNNNNNNNNNNNNNNNNNNNNNNNNNNNNNNNNNNNNNNNNNNNNNNNNNNNNNNNNNNNNNNNNNNNNNNNNNNNNNNNNNNNNNNNNNNNNNNNNNNNNNNNNNNNNNNNNNNNNNNNNNNNNNNNNNNNNNNNNNNNNNNNNNNNNNNNNNNNNNNNNNNNNNNNNNNNNNNNNNNNNNNNNNNNNNNNNNNNNNNNNNNNNNNNNNNNNNNNNNNNNNNCGUGAUUUUUUACUCGUUUUUUAUUUGAUAUACAUAUUGUUUCUUGACUUUGUAUGUGAAAGCAAAACGACACCCCAAAUAAACAUUAGUAAUUAAAAAAUUGUAGUACAAUACAAGACAAGAAACGAGUACAAAAUUUGAUUCCAAACAAGUACAGUUUAGAAAAACCAGUACCGGUGAAAAACUAAGUACAACAAGAUGACUAUUAAAAGAAUUGAAAAAAGCCAAUAUCCAAAAUAUAGUUCCUACAAAGGUGAUUUUAUGGCCGAAAAUUUUCUUUGAAACGGAGCUCUGGUGGUCGAGAAAAUUUUUCUGAAAUUAUUUGGUCCGACUUAAAAUUGUUAUUGUUUUAAAAGUUAAUUUUUAAAAUGACGUAUUUACUCCUAUUCAACUAAAAGUAUGUUGGAUUGAAUGUCCAAAAUCAACGGUUCAGAUUUAUUUGCUGUUACUCAAUACCACUUAUUGAGCAUGACCCCUCUUCUUCGAUCGAUAGCUGAAACGGUAUUAGAGUUUCGAUCAUCUGAAUAGAUGAAUGCGAUUUGAACACUGAGAGAAGAAGAUUGUUAUUCUUCAUAUUGCUGUGAACGAAGUCGUUAAUUGCAAGGAUAUAAAUGGGCCUGCAGUCAACACAGCCCAAUCACUUAUAACAAUAGACAAAGUCCAAUUGAUUUUCGCAACAGUCUUUGUUCUCACUUUGUUAAGAAACGAAGAACUAUAACUGCAAAUGGAGCUCGAUGAGCAUUAACACAAAAACAGAGAAUAAAUAAACCUAACACACAACAAAUUAAUGAGGUUCCGCCAAAGACAAAAUAGACUUUGUCGUCAAUCCUCGUUCAGAGGUCUCCCUCUCAGGGUUUGAAAGUUUUCGUUAUUAAUAACGUAAGUGUUACAAGCUACAAAAUCACUUUAACCCAACCCAAUGAAUGCUCCCUACAACACCUCUAGCUUCCCGCUAAGUGGAACAAUUCCCUAACUUGACACUCUAAACAAACUACCCAGUACUCGUAAGCUCCUUGCUAACUUGUACUCUUUUUUCCGGUAUAAUCUCUAUAAAUCAACUCUCAAUUUGUCAGCAUUGUGUCAGGUUCAUAUUUAUAGGGCUCUUCACGUGUUUCAUCUUGAACCUGCAGCUGUAAAGAUAAUCACAUGAAGGGUUAAAUAAUAUAUUUGAUUGAUUAUCUUCCCAGACCCCAACCCAUAAUAAAACCCUUUGUUUUAUUUAUCCUGAUUUACUAUCCAGCAGGUUGAUAAGUCUUUAAGUUAUUUCCGACUAAGAUAAUAUGACCCAACAAUCUCUCCCUGGGUCGAAGAAUGUCUCAACCUUGCUAAUCAAUCCCUUCUUGUCAUUGACAAAACAUUUGUUAAUCAGAUAGACUGAAAGCCUGACCAGAGUGUUACUCCCCUUCAGAUUGGACAUCUUCUUUUAGCACAAACAUGUGCCUGCAAACACCAACAUAUGGUUUUGAAGAAGCAACUUUUAUAAUCCAAAAUAGCCAUACUAAAGAAAACACAAGAGCAACACUCAAAACAAACACCAAGACACAGGAACUCAGGCGGAAACUAAAGGAACUAAAUACCAAACAUAGAAGAACAAUAAAAGAGCUCUUAGACUACUUCAUCAUCUUAUGGAUUGGCAGUCUAGAUGUUCAGGCGACGAGUCACUUCAUCGGCAAGGUCAUCAAUGCUGACUGAUCCUCCCCCUGAGACAUUACUCCAUCCAAUUUCUCGAAGAGGCUGUUGCGGACCAAGAGUAUCAAAGGGAGAUACUGCCAAGUACUUGUGAUGAAGACGAAUCCAUAGAUUUGUCAAGAGAAGAGAGAUCUCUGGUCCAAAUGGGAGAGCCCCUGUUAUGUUUGGAUUGCUAUAUUGGACCAUUGUAGUGAACAUGAGACGAGAGAAAUCAGUUUGGAUGUUCUUUAAUGCAUAGUGCAUGAUCCAGAGAUACGACCCUCGGAACGAGGUAGAAACAUCCAAGAAAUAAAGUAGUGUAGGACUCCAGAUUUCCCAGAAACUUUGAGAAUGUUGCGAGUGAUGAGUCCGUAACCGGCAGCCUGGUCUAGAGAGACAAAGUUUCAUCUGGAUUGAAAUUAUACCUUUGAAAAUCGACCUCAGAGAAGAUAACAGCACUGUCGCAUGGUAUUCGAAGAUUUAAAGCAAGAACUUCAGGAGAAAUAAAAAUGAAUGUGACCAUCAACAUACAUGCUAAAGCAUCCUUGAGCCAUAUAACCGUGAAGUUGAAGAUUUGCAUAGAACUGGGCAACAACGUCCCGAAAGAAGAGUCGUAGUCGGUUGAACACUAAGGAACUCCAACCAAGAUUUCUAAUCAGAGAAGCAACAUUGAGACCAUAUUGACCAAAGUCAACAGGGUUAAGCUGCAAAUGAGUUAAAAUAGGUCGAGGAGAAAAUAACCUAGCAUAAAUUGCCCUGUGAGUGGAGCUCCGGAUGAGAUCGUUGGUGUACUAAACGUAAGGACCAUGAGAGCCAAGAAAGGGAUUAGAGAAACUCAUGAUGAGAAGAGCAGAUGAGAGUGCUAAAAGUGCUAAAAGAAAUAGGCCUUUAAUAUAAGUUCAACUUCUCUCUUUAAGAGAGGCUACGCCUGUAGACAUGAGCAUCCCAACAGAUCUACAUAACAUUAAAUACCAUUCAAUAGGCAGAGGUUUGGUAAAGAUAUCAGCAAUUUGAAACUCAGUGUCAACAAAAUCAAUUGCAAUUACUUUGCUAGCAACAAGAUCACGAAUAAAAUGAUGCUUUAUAUCAAUGUGUCUUUAGUUCUAGAAUGAUGUACUGGAUUAUGAGUAGUAUUUAUGACAUUCGUAUUAUCAUAAAGCAUGGGGGUGGUCAAGAGAUGCAUACUGGAAUCAUUGAGCUAAGUUCGCAACCAAACGAGUUGUGUACAAUAGCUACCAGCCGCUACAUACUCUACUUCUCCUGUAGAAAGAGCGACAGAGCUUUGUUUUUUGCUGAACCAUGAGAUCAAGGAGUUGUCGAUGAACUAACAAGUUCCUGAGGUGCUUUUUGGUCUGUAAGACUUCCUGCAAAGUCAGCAUCUGAAUAGCCAAUAAGAUCAGGACAGGAAUCGCUGGUGUACCAUAGACCAAGAUCCAUUGUCCCUGGUAAGUAACAAAAAAUCCUUUUAACUAUAAUGAAAUGACUUUCCUUAGGAUUACUCUAAAAUCUUACACAGACUCCAACACUAAAUGAAAUGUCCGGUCUGCUAGCUAUAAGGUACAGAAGAGAACCUAUCAUGCCUUGAUAGAGCUUUUCAUUUACAACUGUUCCUCCUUCAUCAGAGCCCAAUUUAAUGGAAGUAGACAUAAGCGUCGAACAUGAUCUAUAAUCAGAGAGACCAAAUUUUUCUAUCAUGGUACGAUAGUAUUGAUAAGGCUAGAAUUUGUAGCAAUUAUCUACCCUUUUAUGCAUGUUUUUUGAGUGAUUAUUAGUUUGUUCGAGAUUCAUUCCUAUAUGAUUUCGUGUUUUGGCAUCACAUGCCUAGAUCCGCUUAUUUGGACCGUUUCGGUCCAUUUAAUGUGUUCUUUGUAGUAUUUGUCCCCUACAGGUACUUCAGAGAUAGGUGGUAUGGCUAUGAAGCCAAGGACGUAAAGUAUAGCACGAUUGGAGCUCAAACGGUAGAGUGAGAAAAGGAAUAGAGAAGCAAAGGGACUGCACGCCGUGCAGCACUGCACACUGUGCAGCCCUAAAUCAUGUUGAAAAUGUCAGCCUCAAAACGUAGGAACGGUGUGCACCCCUACACCACUGCAUACCGUUCCGCCCUUUUUGGUUCGAGGAAGUUUAGAGAUUAGGAGGUGCAUGGCGUGCACCACUGCAUGUCGUUCCCUUUCAUUUGCUAUGCAGAAAGAAUGAAGAUAGGGAGGUGCAUGACGUGCACCCCCCAAUUUCAGCAUCUUCUUAUAAAAGGGCUGAUUUUGAGGAAAGAGAAAGACAAGCCCCCAAACACGAAUUCUCUCGAUUUUCCCGACUUUCUUCUCCAAAAACCAGCACAAAACCUAUCUUAGAAGCUCAAUUGAAGAUCCAAGAGUUCCUAAUAAAGAUUGAAGCUAGGAUUGAUGUUAGGAUUGAAGCUAGAAGACCCAAAUCCAUGAUUGGAGGAAGAACAAUCCAUGAUCUCUUCGACAAAAUGAUGGUUAGGGUUUCUUUUGAUUUGUCUUCUUCUAGAGUUAUGAGUAACUACAUCUGUAGAGAUUCUUGGUUGAGAUGUAGGAUUUGAGCCAUGAUACCUGUCUUGAACGUUUAAAAACGACGAUUGUGGAUAUUUGGAUAUGAGUGAAAGAUUGUUUUGAUUGUUUUGAUUGUUUUGUUUUCAACCUAAUUCUUGUUACGGCUUGAAUUAGGUCAAAUUUAUGAAAUUCUUUGUUUGAUAGAAUUAGGAAUUCCUAAGAUUAAUAAUCAAGGAUAGAUGAAAAGUUAUCGGUGGGGUAAGCCGAUAACCCAAUUCUUCCUUUUGUGUUUCUUCUAGUUUUAAACGUUAUUCAUCUUGUAAUUGGCGUGUAGUUAUCAGUAGUUUAGGCAUUGAUGUACCAAGUUAACGCUAUUUUCAAUUACUCAUGAUUUCUUUUAAUUUCGGAAGUCUCGUGGUGUCUUUUAAUUCCGGAAGAACACCUUAUCACUUUGUAUUUCUUCUCGGUGUUUAUUACCUACUAGCUUGAUUAAGGUUAUUUCUACCUUAGUUAGGAAGCCAGUAAUGGUAAUCUGAGUGCAUGAUCAUGCCACGAAUUCAUACGAGUGAUAGGAGGAUUCCUAUUAUUCAUUCAAAGUCCAACAUUUGUUCAUUUCGAAUGCGUUUAGGAAGUUAAGCUUGAUGACUUAUCUCUUCCAAGAACUCGUUUUCUCCCGUUGACUCAACCUUUGAAGUGCUAGUUUUAAUUAAAUAUUAGAAUAAUUAAAACUCAAACCCAAUUGUUAAGAGAUGAAGAAUUAUAACUGCAAAUGGAGCUCGGUCAGUAAUAACACAAAGACGGAGAAUAAAUAAACACAAGACACGGCAAAUUAACGAGGUUACGCCAAAGCCAAAAUAGACUUUGUCGUCAAUCCUCGCUUAGAGGUCUCCCUCUGAGGGUUUCAAAGUUUUCAGUUGAUUAAUGUCGUGAGCGUUACAAGCUAUGGAAUCACUUUAAACCAACCCAGAUGAUGCUCCCUGCAACACCUCUAUCUCCCUGCUAAGUCGAAUGAUUCUCUAACCUGACACGUACCAGACGUGCUUUUGCGAUCAAUUACAUUGCCAGCAAAAUCAGAAUCGGAAAAGCCUAUCAAGUCCAUGGAUCCCUCAGCAGGAUACCACAGUCCCAAUUCAAGAGUUCCAGAAAGAUAUCGAAAAAUUCUUUUUACAAUCUUUAUAUGAGUGUCGUGAGGUUUACUUUGAAAACGAGCACAAACACCUACACUAUAUGCAAUGUCAGGUCUGCUGGCAGUAAGAUAGAGAAGAGAUCCUAUCAUUCCUCGAUAUAAUUUCUCAUUAACAGGUUUUCCAGGAGCUUCAUUAUGUAUGAGUAGCACAAUUUUUUAUUAAGGGAUAGUCAAACUUGGUUAGCGUAUUUUUACAGUAUUUAGUCUAACUUAGAAAAAUACCAAAUUGAGUUUGCUUGAUUUGCAAUCCAAGAAAGGAAGAGAGUUCCCCAAUUAAGCUCAUUUCAAAUGCAUCCUGUAUUGUUUUACUAAAUUCCAUACAUAGACUUUCGUUUUGUGAACCAAAAAUAAUAUCAUCAACAUAUACUUGAACAAUAAGAAGACAAGAUUCUACUGUUUUUAUAAAAAGAGUGUUGUCCACUGAACCUCUGGUAAACCCGUGAGAAAUUAGAAAUGAACUUAGCUUGUCGUACCAGGCCCUAGGAGCCUGUUUUAAACCGUAUAGAGCCUUAUUUAGUUUAUACACGUGAUGAGGAAAUGCAUGAUUUUCAAAACCAGGUGGUUGAGAGACAUAAACUUCUUCUUGUAAAUCCCCAUUUAGAAAGGCACUUUUAACAUCCAUUUGAUAAAGCUUGAAUCGAUUUAUACUGGCAAACGCACACAAAAGACGAAUGGCUUCUAGUCUAGCUACUGGAGCAAAGGUUUCAUCAAAAUCAAUACCUUCCUCUUGAUCGUAUCCUUGUACUGAACUCUUGAUUUACGAAUUCUCCACCAUUAUCACUACGAAUUUUAACAAUAGUUUGCUGUUUUUCAUUUUGAGUUUUGUUUCUAAAUACCCAUUUAGUUCCUAAAAUUGUUCUAUUCGUAGGCUUAGGAACAAGACUCCAGACACACAACCUAUCAAACUGAACCAUCUCCUCAUUCAUAGCUAAAUUCCAAUCAUCAUCUAAUAAGGCUUCUUUCUCAUUUUUUGGUUCUAAAAUUGACACAAAUGCAGAAUGAGAUGUUUGGGAGCGAGUAAUUAGACGAUCGUUAAUAUUUCCGAUUACCUGGGGAGGGGGGGGGCUCUUCUGUAUGGGGUCAUGAAUUUUAGAUUUGAAACUACUUCUAACUUGCUUUCCCUUAGCACAAGCAUCACAGAUUUUGUUUUUAGCAUAACUUAACUUGGGAAGACCCCUGACCAGGUUUAAGCUACUUAGUUUAGCUAGUAUCCCUAUGCUUACAUGCCCUAACUUUUGAUGCCAUGCAAACUGUUCAUCCACUUUCAUUGAUACAAGUGUGUGAUUGUUUGAGGGGAUGGUGUCUCACUGUUUCCAUUAUUGAGAGUGUUGUCUUCCUGAUGUGUGCUCAGCUCUGCUUCGGAGUUAUCACUGUGGCCAGAAUUUGUUUGUGAUUGAAGCCUGGGAGCAUAAUUAGUAUAAGACAGUUCUAAAGUAUCAUCAUUAGCUCCCUGUAACUCAAGAACAGAAUUAGUAUUCUCAUCAAAUAUCACAUUAACUGAUUCUUCCACUUUAUUAGACUGCUUAUUGAAGACAAGACACAAUUCAUCAAUGUUUUCAAUUAUUUUUAAGUUAACUAGAUAGAUAUUUCCCUUUUUAUAUCCUUUGAAAAGAACAGAGACUCUAUAAGCUCGACUGUGAGCAGAGUAGCCUAGAAAUAUCCCUUCAUCUGAUUUAGCGUCAAAUUUACCUAAGUGAUCUUUAGUGUUAAGGAUAAAGCAUUUGCAUCCAAAAGGCUUAAAAUACCCUAUACUAGGUUUUUUAUUUUUCCAGAGCUCAUAGGGAGUUUUAUUAAACCUGGAACGAAUGAGGGCCCUAUUUGUAACAUAGCAGGCUGUGUUAACAGCUUCUGCCCAUAAUUUUGGACUAAGAGCAAAGUCAUUUAGCAUAGUUUUAGCGAUUGCUAUUAAGGUUCUAUUUUUUCGUUCAACUACUCCAUUUUGCUGAGGCCAUCAGCCAGAUAACAGACCUGCAUCAACACUAGUCAUUUGGUUUUUUGCAUCCAACGGCCUUGGAUGUUGAAUUUUUAUUAGCAUAAAACAUACAUUCAGCUAUUGAGUGAUUAGAUGUGUGACACACAUGACACCAGUUAUUAUAAUCUAUAGCAGUUUUACAGAAUGACCUUAGUUCUCUAUAUCUAGGCAGAAAGUAAUUAUGACGAUAGUAAGGCCAUCUCCUUAAUUCUCUUUUAAGAACUCCAUUCUGUCUAAGAACAUUUCUAAGAUUAUUUUUAACAUUCAUAGUUUUCUGUUUGGCAAGUCUAAGGUGUUCUUUAGCAUUUUCAGAUUUUUGUAUUUCAGCUGUAAGUUUUCUUUUUAGGUCUGAGUACCUUACUCUAAAUUCAGCAAACUCAGAAGUUAUCUCUUCUAUAGUCUCAAGCAACUCUUCUUCAUUUUCAGAGAAACUAUCUAAAUUAGAAUCAUCAAUUUUCUCAUCUGCACUUAGAUUGUUUAGAGAUACCUCAAUUUUUUCGUUUACAGUUGCUUUGAUUUCUGAAGUUUCUUCAUGUAGUUCCUCAGCUAUUGCCAUGAGUGCAUGCUCUUCAUCAUCUGACGCUUCACUUUCAUCUUCACUUGCACUCCAAGUUGCUUGGAAGGCUUUCUCCUUAGUAGUGCAUUCAGCUCUAAGAUGUCCCAUCUUUCCGCACCUGAAACAUAUUGACGAACUAGCAGUACCCUCUUUUCUAGGUUUAAUACCAUUUCUCAGAGAAAAAACCAUUAUCUUAGGUUCAUCAGAUUUUUCAGCAUCUUUAUUUCUGAAGUUGCUACGUUGUUUUCUUAAGCGAAUCAUUUUACUGACCUUUUUUAUAAUAGUGCAAGCUCAUCAUCAUCAUAAUCAUCUAAGUUAUUAGUACUAGUAACUAGACUAGCAAUUUCUGUAUUAGUAUCUCUUUUUAAUAUUUCCUCAUGAGUAAGAAGUGAUCCAAGCAGCUCAUCUAGCUUAAUAUCAGCAUGAUUCUUUGUUUCCUCAAUGGCUGUGACCUUAGGAAGCCAUUGACUAGGCAAACACCACAAAAUCUUUCUGAUUAUAUCCUCAUUUUCAUAGAUUUUUCCUAGUCCUUCCAAUUUAUUGAUUAUAUUCUGAAAUCUAUCAGCCAUAUCUCUAAUAGUUUCACCAGGCUCCAUUUUAAAAAGUUCAAAUUCCUGUUUCAGCAUACUAAUUUUAGUGGUCUUUACUAGGUUAGUUCCUUUAUAGGUUAUACAUAACUUGUCCCAGAUUUCUUUAGUAGAUUUACAAGUAGAUAUCCUAUUGAAUUCUUCCUUUCCUAGAGCACAGUACAUAAGAUUAAUUGCUUGAGAAUUUAGUUGCACUUUUUUAAUGUCAUCAUCUGUCCAUUUAUCAAUGUUAGCUUUUACCUCUUGUGGACCAUUGACUAUGAGAACCCAUAGUAAUGGGUUGACAGUCUUGAUGAACAAUUCCAUACGGUUCUUCCAGUAUCCAAAGUGAGCACCUUCAAAUCUGGGAGGGCGAUUUGCUGAAAAUCCAUCUGCCAAAAAAAUUGCUCCCUGUGACUCACUCAUCAUGAUUCAACUACAAGCAGCUACUCAAUUACUAAGGAUCAGAAAUCACCUGGAUUAGUACUUGCCGAGGGUUGAUUCGAUAAGCUAACCAGCUCUGAUACCACUUGUUGCAAUCUGAUCCUCGUGCUUUCAAUAUCAGUUGAGACUGUUUCAAUAGAAGAAGAUGAUUAAGCUCCUUAUAUAACUCUAGAGUUAGUUCAGUACUUGAAUGAACUUAACAUAGAAUGCAUGCAACACAAGAUCACAAAUUCAAGACAUGCAUGCAACAUUAACUCUUCAGAAGCUUCAAUCUCGAUUAACAUAUGCAGAAGCAGUUUAUUAGGUUGACAUAAUCAGCAAUGGAUAUUCUCAGUGACAAGGAACUAAAUAAGUAACUUUAAAUGACAACUCGACAACCUUAAACACACUGAGUCUUAAACGUCAAUUCGUGGCCCUUGAUUGACUCUGUUAGGCUCCAGCUUCACUCCAGCUUCCAGGGUUGUCCAAUCAAGCCUUCAAUCGAUGUAGCUCCAGCUCCAGUCGUGCAAAAAUCCUUCAGACGAAACUCCAAGCUUUGACGUGUUUAUUUCCAGUUGAGAAGCGCAACUUGGACGAUUUGCAGCCUCUAGCUUUUAUUGUUGCCGUGGCUUGCUUUCAUUUAAUGAGGCUAGUGAGAUCGAAGCUUCCUUCUUUCCAAACUCGACUUCGAGUUCUUCGCAUCGCGGCCGCCUUCUCUUUUUGAUUCUGUAAGUCAAAAAUACCAAUUAGGGUUAGGAUCAAUUCACGACACUAAUGGUCGCUGCUUCUCCUGAGUGUCAGCUUGGGUUGGGCUUCUGUCAGAGUCUGUGUGGGCUGUUCAUGGGCCGAAACUUGAGCCUUAUCACUCAGGCUUGAUUUAUGUCAACACAAAGGAGGAACAACGGUUGGGUCACUGAUAGAGAUAUCUUCUCUGGAGCAUAUCAAGAUAAAGUAUAGUAGGUACCGCAAUCAAUGAUGGAAGAAACUCCAGGACUUUAAGGGGUAUCAUUUUUUGUGUUUGUGUUGCCGCUCGUCAAGUGUGACGGUUGAGAGCUAGGGAGAGUGCUCUGUUUUCGUCCAACUUGUUGCUGCACCAAUCAUGGGGUUCGGUAAAAAAGUUUUUCACUGUGUAUCGGACCUUUCCUUAUACUAGUAAUGAGUAAUUGCACUACUAGUAAAACUUGAUUGAGGAAGAUAGAAGGAUAUGAAGAAGAAUAGCUUUUUGGAAGCAAUGUGGUCUAAGGCUGUUAUAGGGGAAACCACCUUGAGUAGUAAUGAAAUUCACAACUUUGUCAAAAUCUUUGUUUGUUUGUUCAAAAUGAGUUUGGGGAAUUGGAAAUCAAAAUUCAUCUAGACCCACAUUUAAGCAAAAAAUAUUCUAUUUUCGGAUAUGUUUGUAUAAACCAACAUUUUUAACUUCCUCUGCAAGGACCCACUUACCUCCCUGCUGGAAGUAAAUUCCACUCACACCCUCCCAUUUCUUUUCUCCUUUUGCACAGAUGCAUCUCGACCUCAAUAUUUUCUUUACUCAAAUCAAGAGAUUUAAAAUAUAGUAUAGGAUUAAGAAUAAACUAGAGAGCGAUAAUGGUGGGAGAAGAUGACAUUAGUUCCAUCUCCGACACUGGUACAUCCGAUGGCAUCAGUUCAAUCUCUAGUGUCUACGGCGCCGAUACAUCUAAUAUAAGUGAUAUUGGUGCUAUUUAGACAGCAAAAUAUUCGAAAAAUGAACUUCCCAAGUUUUACUAAAUCCUUUGAUCUACAAACUACCCUUUAUUAAUUCCAAAUAUUUUCUCAUUGAUCUACAAAAUAAUCUUUACGUCUAUCUUCUCUGUAUCAUUUAGAAAAGAUAGACGUAAAAAGAAAUAGAGACGGUAGAGGAGAAACGGAAUAAGAAAGAAAGCUAAAAUAAGUAAUGAAUGGUGGAGGUAAUUUGAUUAUUAUACAAACAACUCAUUUUUAUCCAAAUAUUUAUGAUAGUGAAAUUUUUUAUAAUUCACCUCUAUUAAACUGUGGAUUUCAUUUUUCUUCAAAAUAUAUAUAAAUUUCAAUUUCUCAAUCCUCAAAUCUCUAAUUAUCUUCCUCUUAUUUUCCCUAAAGCAAACAUGACCUAAAUUAUUUAGUUCAAAAAUCGAAAUUUGAUUUGAUCAAUCAAUCCUCAAUCUAGAAUUAAAUUUAUAUUUUUUUUGUGAUCCAAAAUCAAAUAUGUGAUAUACCUAUAUAGAAAUGGGAGAGUGAGACUCGUGGGCCGGAUUGAUAAAUACUUGCAUUACUUUUCAUCCAAUUAUUUUUCCAAUAUUCAUCAGCUGGUUUUUCAGUAAUUUCGCCAGUAGCAAGGAGCCACUUGGAGAAGUAGCAAAACGACGUCACCGAAUCCAGGACUGACACGUAUCACCUCGGUAAUCGCUAGUAACAUACCCACCAUUCCGGAUUUCGUUUCCUACAAAUAUCUACACUGCUCAGUACUCAAUCAUUCCACACGUUCCUCACCUCACUACCAUGGAUCGCUCAACCAAGUUUUCUCUCCUCCUCUUUCUCUCGAUCCUCUUCUCCUCUUCCGCCGCCCUCUCCGUAUCGGAGAUGGUUCCGGAGGAGGAGCCUCUGAUUCGACAGGUAGUUUCCGGGAUCGAGGACCACCUCCUGGACGCCGACGGCCACUUUGCCAGCUUCAACACAAAGUUUNNNNN
This 49812-nucleotide long non-coding RNA is filed under the name Linum usitatissimum (flax). RNAcentral describes it as "long non-coding RNA (LUSI_LNC007895)". Lineage: Eukaryota; Viridiplantae; Streptophyta; Magnoliopsida; Malpighiales; Linaceae. The record is from RNAcentral.